CUUAAUCUUCUUAGUAAAUGUACAAUUAAUGAAAAAUAAGUAAAAAUGAAUGAAACUAGUGCGAACUUCUAUCAAGCAAAUUGCUUUAGUGCCUAUCAUCUUAUGAAAAAAUGCUAGUAGGCACAUGUAUGCGCUCCUAACCGAAUGCAUCUUGCCCAAAGAGGUUUCGUGGCGCUUUUGUUGUUUGAUGCUAAGGUGCAUGCCUUAACUAUAGAAAUUUAAUCAGAAUGCAGCGGGGAACCUUGUCUUUUUUCUGUUUACUCUCUGAAAGUGUCAGUUGGUAUUCCAUCGAAACUGAGAUUUUUUUCCCGAAGUGUUUACGCAUUGGUAUGAAUUUUUGUUUUUAGGGAAGUUUGAUAGUUGUAUAUCUGAUCUCAUCUUGAUAGUUAUGACAGUUAACAUUGUUUUAUAUCUAAUUGUCAAUUAUGGUUUCUCCUUUAUAGCAUAAAUCAUAUAAACCUGAAAUUUCUGUAUUUGAAGAUUUUGUUUCUUGAGCUGCCUUCAAGAUGAAGCUCUUAGCUCUCUUGGGCUUAUCACUGAUGUCAGUGUUUUUAAUUCCUAAGUGAGGGAGGCAAAGAGUGAAGGUGCUCGUGGCGGAGGUCGUGGUGGGCGAGGAUAUGGACGUGGACGUGGUGGUAGUGGUAGUGGUGGAUACAGACGUGAUUUUGCAAAUGACGAGAACUUAUUCAGCAAUAAUGCUGUACCUGAAGAUGGAGAGAGUGGAAAACCCUCUGAAAGGCGUGGUUAUGGUGGUCCUCGACCUUACCGUGGUGGUCGCCGUGGUGGUUUCAGUAAUGGGGAAGAUGCAGAUGGGGAGCGACCUCGCAGGUUGUAUGAACGCCGUAGUGGGACAGGGCGCGGGUAAAAAAGGAAGCUUUUGUUUAACAUUAGCUUUGAUAUAUUCUGCAUAUCGGUAUUUUAGCCAAGUCUCAAAGCUGAUGUUUUUGUGUUCUGUUCAUGUCUGCAGAAAUGAGCUCAAACGUGAAGGCUCUGGUCGUGGUAAUUGGGGAACUCAAACUGAUGAACUUGCUCAGUGAGUUAUCUCUAGUAGUUACAACCACAACCUUCAAUUUUAUUGUAAAUCAAUAAAAUAUCACUUUGUUUCACUCUUCUUCCCUUAUUAUAAUCAUAAAAUGAAAAUGAAAUAUUGUAUUUUUAUUGUUAAGGGUGACUGAAGAAGUUGCCAAUGAAGGUGAGAGGAAUUUAGGUGAUGAAAAACCAGCAGGAGAAGAGGAUGCUAGAGAUGCUAACAAGGAGAGUGCUUCAAACGAGCCUGAAGAAAAAGAGCCCGAGGAUAAGGUAAGGUUAUUGACGUCUGCAACUUUUGUUAAUUAUAUAUGAUAGCUGCUAAUUUGGCUAUUACUUUGUUCAACGUUUCAUAUUGCAUUUUUAUAGGAGAUGACUCUUGAGGAGUAUGAGAAGGUGCUGGAAGAGAAGAGGAAGGCUCUGCAGGCUCUCAAGAUCGAGGAAAGAAAAGUAGAUGCCAAGGAGUUUGAAUCUAUGCAACAGCUUUCAAACAAGAAAAGUAAUGAUGAGGUCUUCAUCAAAUUGGUAAGACCCUUCGAUUCACUUUGAGAAAUUCAUCGUUAAUGACUCCAUCUUAUUAUUGGGAAAAUAUGUAGUAUUAAUCACUUGUUCCCUAUAAUUGGCUUCUACAGGGAUCUGAUAAAGAUAAGAGAAAAGAGGCUUAUGACAGAGAAGAGAGAGCAAAAAAGGUACUUUUACUUAUUUUUAUUGAUCUGUGUCAUAUAAUUUGCCUUCCCUUUUCCAGUUUGAACCUCAUUUGUGUGAUUAUUCUGUAUUUAAGGGACCUUAGUUUAUACUGAUGUCAAAGUCCCUUGAUUUAAGAAGUAGUCCUAUCUCUUCCAUGAUUAAAGCUUGCAUAUGUGCUUUCUCCUUUUACCGGUUUGUGCAAGUUUAUCUAUGGCUUGCGUUUAUAUUUUUUGCUGGCACGUACUGAUGAUCCCUAUCCAUGUGGUGGUGGUGGGUAGUCUGUCAGCAUUAAUGAAUUUCUGAAGCCCGCUGAAGGGGAGAGGUACUAUAAUCCAAGUGGACGUGGGCGUGGUCGUGGACGAGGUUCAAGAGGAUUCGGUGGAGGUAAUGCAGCAAGAGAUGUGGCAGCACCAUCCAUUGAAGACCCUGGGCACUUCCCAAUUCUUGGGGGCAAGUGAAGAAGGGAGAUUCCUUUAGAACCCGACAUAUGAUAUCCAUGGGUUUUAUUGGAUUUUUAGGUACUUUUAAAUUUUGGGCUGGGAAUAAGAUAAAUAAUCUGGUUUCCUGUCGCCAAAGGAUCUCUGAAUUUUAUGUAGUAAAAUGUAUGUUUCAGGGUUUUUCUCUCUUUUUGUUUUUUGGGGGUAUUGCCCCCACUAUUGUUAUGCUUUGAUCGUACUGCUCACUGCUCACUGCUCACUGCUCACUGCUCAGUUUUCUUUUGGAAUAGAUGGAACUAUUUUGCUACUUGUUUUCGAGCACUUUAGCAGUGUUUGCACCUGUUGCUCCCCAGAAUCUAAAGAUGAAUUAAUAGCGAUGCAGGGGAAGUAAAGCCUAAGAUUCUCUACCGUAGGGGUGAGCAAAAUUCGAUUCGACUCGAAAAAAUCGAAAAAAAUUCGAAUUUCGAGUUAAACGAAUCGAGUUAUCCGAAUCAACUCGAAUUUUUUUUCAAAUUUCGAGUUCGAAUCGAGUUGAGUUUUUGAAUUCGAAUAACUCAAAUGAUUCGAAUAUCAAACUAUAAUAUUUUACAUUUUUAUCUUAAACUCUUAAAUUUUUUUACUUUUCUCUCAAAAUUUUUACUCCUUCCAACUUACUCCCAAAUCUUUUACUCCUCUUCCCUCCCAACCUCUAAAUUUAUUCAAAAUUUAUUUCCCACCAAAAUUUUACUCUCCUAUUUAUUUUUUCUUAAAAUUUUACUCUGAAAAACCUUCAAAAUCUUUUAUUUUCCCUCAAAAUUUAUACUUUCUCGUACUUUUUUCCUAAAACUUUUAUUCUUUUCCCAUUCCACCUCUCAUCUACCCCAAACCUUUCCCUCUUCAAUUUUUUUAAAAAUAUUUUCCCUCCAAAAUUUUGCUCCCCUAUUUAUUUUCCCUUAAAUUUUUAUUACUCAAAACUUUUUAUUUUUUCCUUAAACUUUUACUCCUCUCCAUUUACUCUUAAAUAAAAAUCAAAAUUAUCAAAAAAAUCACUAAAUAUAAAUAGUAAUAAUUUUAUUUAUAUCUACUAUUUAUAUUAUUAAAUUAAAUUAAAUUUUACAUUUUAUAUUAUUUAUAUUAUUGAAUUGUUUAGUCAUAUUGAAUAUUUAUAUUAAAAUUGAAUUCUUAAUUAUGCCAUAAAAUAUUCGUGUUAAAAUUUUAUAUUAGUAUCAAUUUCACAUUUUAUUUUUAAAAUAACUUUUAUUAAAAAGUCAUAUUUUUACAUUUAAUAUAUUUUUUAAUUCCAAAAUACAUAGUGACAAGAAUUUGAAGAUAAUUGAAACAACUAAGCAAGCAAAGAAGCUAACCAGUAUAUAAAAAAUUAAUAUAUAAAUUAUAAGGUGAUGAAAGUUAAUAAAAAUUUUGAUUAAGGUGGACAAAUUUUAUUACGAUAGGUUAUAGUGGUUAUAAGGACUCAAAAUUAUUUUUUAAAAUUUAACUCGAACAAAUAUAUUCGAUUCGAUUCGAUUCGAAUUCCAUCUCACUCGACUCGAUUCGAGAAAACUUCAAAUAAAGUUAAGAUGAUAAAAUGAGAUUCGAAAACUUGAUUAACUUGAAAAUUUUCGAUUCAAUUCGAUUCGAUCGAAUGCUCACCUCUACUCUACCGUACUUCUGCCAUGGCUGCAUUGCAUUGUCUCGACUCGUCUUCCAUGAGAUGAGAUGAAGCCAAAUGCUUUUAGAUCUUAAUCGUCAAUGCAUUUGAACAUCUGAUUACUGUUUUCAAAUCAUAUUGUUUUACAUAAUCUUUAAAUCAUAUUGUGUAAAAGCAUAGACGCAAGCAGCGACAUCAGCAACAACAUCGAAGCUUAGAAAGUUGGAUCAGAUUAUUGUCGGAUUUGCGUCAUGAAUCCGCCUUGUUUGCUAUUGUAAGUUGUACGUUUCAGGGAAGGGUUGCGUGGUUUAGAUAACAUAUGAAUCAAAUUUUUAUUGUUGGCUUACCUACUCGAAUUUGAAGUUAAAUAUUUAAAAUAUGUGAAUCAAUUUUUAAUUAUAUCUAUUUAUUACACAGACAGUUUGGAUGUGAUGAGUAAUAAAAUAUUUCUUUUAAAUUUUAUUAUAUUAUUCGUUUUUUUAAUACGUUACUUGUCGAUUAUUCAAGUAGUAUGUACAUGUAUGUUUAAACUUUGAUCUACAUAUUUUAAAUACGUUUUAUAUCAAAUUUGACUUAGAAUUUAAUGCUUAAUCUGACAAUUAAGUUAAUAGAAAGAUUUUAUUAAUACGAUACUAGUAUUUUGACUACUAAAUUAAAAAUAUGAUGAGAGUUAAAUAUUUAACAAAAGCAAUAGAAAAUCAUGGAAUAAAAUAAGAAUAUGUAUUAAUUAUAACCAUAAAGAAUAUUGACAUUAUAGCCAAUAACCUUGUCUAAAUGGGAAAGUCAAAUCUCCUAAACAAAAUUUAAAUAACAGAUCACCUACGAAACUAAAACAAUCCCUGCAAUAUUUGUUGAUACAAAUAAUUAACAAAGAGGAGAUGGAGGGGAGUGUCAAUUCACCUGACAAGAGAAGGGGAAUGGGAGAAAGUUUGGUUGAUGUUUAGGGUUUUUGUCUACGAAAGGAGAGAUUAUUGGUCUCUCGUGCACUUGGAUAUAUAUAGGGGCUCACCCAUUGUAUUGUUGUGCCACGUAGCCGACAACAUUAGGGUCUGUAUGGUUAUGUGGUCCUGCUCAGACAUACAGUGUACUAUGAGGUCCUACUCAAACAUUCUUAUCCUUGACAUUUUACGAGGUUGUUACAUCUCAAUAGUCUCCACGAAGGGUAUACAACGAGUGAUCCCCACGAAGGGUGCGUAGUGGGUUGUUUCUAAGUUGGUUUGGACAGAAAAUCUGCAGACCAUCCUAAGCGAAGGGUCGUUACGAACAGUCCCUAGCGGAGGGUUGUCAACAGGUUGUUCCGUACCUUGCCAUGUGUCAUGCUCUUGUAAGGGUAUAAUAAUUGCCUCCUAGGCAAGAGGUAGUUUACAAAGUGGCCUGCCUUGAGACUAUUUAGUCAAUAGCUAUAACGGAGAGUUACCAAAGUAAGCCAUGUAAUGGAAGGGGUGGAAGAUGAAAAGUUGUGAUGCUUACGCGUAUUGAGAACGCUUUAGGAAAAAGGGGGUGCACUGAAUAUUCUAGAAAUUGUGCAUUAAUGGUGGAGCAUUGCAACUAUUCUUUGGGAAAUGACGCCAAUGAUGGGGUAGACUUUGUGUCCUUUUGUGGGACACAGUCUAGUUGGGUUGCUCCGUGAAUUAUUAGGUCUGCUAGAAUUGAAAUGCACCAUUUUGAGAAGUCCCUUUAAAAGAGGCUUAAGGGUUAUUUGCUUCAUCUUCAAAAUUUCCUAAGUGUUUAAGCCUUCAAGUUUUCCGGUUUUAUUUUUCGUUAUUUAAAUUUUCUAAGUGUUUACUCUUCAUUUUCUCUAUUAUUCUCAUCUUCUUUCACUUUCAUUUUUUCACCACAUUUGCUUGCUCAGAGUUAGGGCGUAUGUUGAGGGUAAGGCUCAAUUUUUGAAUCUUUCCUUUUCUUUUUGUUUUGAAUUAGCACCGAUAGCCAAAGGAAAUAAAGGAGAGGAGAUUGGGCCUUAAGAGGCAGUGGCUAAGAAGGUGAAAAAAAUUCCUAGGUUAGAGAGAGAUGUGGUGGUGGUUGGCACUUUUGAGUGCACCAACAGGACAAAAGAGAUGACUCGAUUACUCCGAUGCUGAGGGCUGGAGCCGAAGCACUAUCGAUAUGAAUUCAAUAAUCUAAGGGGUGAGUUUUCUCUAAGUGCAAUGAGUAGGCCUAACCAUAGGGGAAAGAUGCAUGGGUUUUACUUGUCGCUAUAUGUGUUAGAGGCAAGGUUUCAUCUUCCACUUCACCACUUUGUAUGUGAGAUUCUUAAUUAUUAUAGGAUAGUUUUGGGACAAUUAGCAGGGUUUUCAUGGUGGAUAAUAAUUGGGUUUUUGUUGUUGUGCUGUGAGUGUGGGAGGGGGGAGAGGUCCCCCACUAGUUGAACCAAACAACUCACCCCAGGUUGUGUACCUCACAAAGCAUCAAAGGCCCUCUGGUAGAAAAUUUGCUCUAUGGGUGGGCCAGCAACUUGAGCCUAGAUAGACAGACACAAGUACAUUGUAGUGACCCGAAAGUCAGUGGUGUUGGAAAACGCGAUUUCGAGAUCUCAUUUCUGUAAAUUGAGACCGUAAAUAUUUACGGAUGUAUAUUGUAGAUUAAUUGAAUUUUGGAUAGACAAUUUUGUUAAAUUAGAGUUUAAUUAAGGUAUAGAGACUAAAUCAUAAAAUUGGUAAAAAGUUUUAUCACUAAAGAAUUUAAUAAUUAGAAAUAAGGAUAGGGACUAUUAUGGUAAUUAUACCGUCUAAUUAUUAUUGUGGCUAAUUUUUAACUAAGGUAUGCAUUUAUAUUAUAAAAAUUUUAGUUUAAUUAAAAAUUACAAAUAAAACAUAAAUUAAAAAGGAAUGAAAUAUAAAUAGUGGAGAAACAAAAUAUUUCCUAUUCAUUUUCCAUUCAUGCAGCCCAGAAACAAGAAAAAGAAAGAAGAAGUUUGGCCUUAGGAUUCCAUUUUUAAUGCUUCAAAUUGGUAUGUGCAAUUUAAUCAUUUUCUUGUAAAUUUUAUGUUUUUGGAGUCCCAAGAGCUUAAUCUAGAUGAAUUGUAUGUUAUUUUUUAGAAUUUUUAAAGUUUUAGAAUGAUGCCAUUGAUGAAUCUUUGAAGUUUUAGAUACUAAAUUGAUAGAUUUAAAGCUUAGAAGUGAAAAGGGACUAAAUUGUGAAGUUAAUUUAUAGUUUUGUAUAAUAGAGACUAAAAUGAAAAAAUUUUAAAAUUUAUGGUAGAAAUUAGAAACAGGAAGUCCUAAUUGGACUAUAGUGAAAAUGAAUUGAAAAUAUGAGUUCUAGAUUGAAAGUUAUGUUAGUCUUAGUUUUAGGGACUAAAUUUAAUAAAAUGUAAAAGUUAUAUAAAUUUUCAAUUUAGUGUGAAUUUGAUUGUGUAUUGAUGAAUUAUUAUUGUGUUUAUAUUAAUCCGUAGCUAACGUCGACCUGGAUUCCUAAAAAAAGAAAGGAAAAGAUAAAAUUAUCGACGAAUAGCUUAGAGUUUUCAAUUUGUGUUUCUAUAAUCUGAAUUGUCUCAAUUGUUGCAUGUAUGAACUUCGUUGUAUGGUAAGAUCAUAAGGUGAGUUACAAUUGAUAAAAUGGGUUGAAAUGAUUCGAUACGAAUUGGUUGUCUAUGUUAAGGACUGAAUUGAAUAGAUUUAAAAAUAUUAUAUAUUGUUUUAAAUGUGAAAUUGUAUCAAUUUUGUGAUGAUUUAUGUUGAUAUAUAUAAGAAUUGUUGAUUGGUUGAUUGAGAUUAUGAAAUGGAAAUUGGGAAUCGAUUAUAAAUGAAUGUGAGAAACUUGUUACCCUAUUGACUGUUCGAGCAGGGUUGGGUAUAAUUGGCAUGCCAUAGGAUAGGAAGAGUUUAGGGUUUUUACGACUACGAGUUGAGGUGAGAUGGGCACACCUAAUUUUCGGUUAUACCAACCAACGCUGGGCGCAACUUACCAUUUCAGAUUUAUCCGAUUGGCACUAGGUGUUAAAUUGGUGUGAUUGGUUGAAUUUGUGUAUCCGUUCGAAUCCGAGUCAGUUUAAUAGGGGUUAAAAGUGGAAAUAAAAAUAAUGAAUUAUGAAAUAAAUUGAUAAAAAGAUCGAUGAUAUUCAUUUUUAUUGAAAGCUUGGAAUUGAGAUAGACAUGUGGCAAUAUAUUUUGUUGAGACGUUAACUAUGUUAUAAAAUGCAUUCGAUAUUAUAAUGGUAGUAGAUAUGAUGAAAAUGCAUUGUAUAAUAUUUGGUUGGUAUAUACACGCUAUGAUCUUUGAACCAUAACUUUAUACGUUUUCUAUUCCGUUUUAUUAUUCGAAUUAUGGAAAUACCAUUGAGUUCAUACUCAACGUACGAUAUUGUUUAUUCAUGCGCAAGUUAGGUGUUAGAUCAUAUACGUUUGUUGAUAUCAACAUCCAUUCGUGAUCUCGGACUUAUCAUGUUGGUGAUACUUUAGUUAGUUUGUUGGCAUGUACUUAAGGGGUCUUAUACCUAUAUUAUGCUAAUUGGAUAAAUGUUGACAUUUUGGCAUAGUUGGUGCAUAUGUAAAUGUUUACUAUUAAUGGUAUGGAUCAUGUGUUUAUAAAUGUGUUGGAUGCGCUUAAAGAUUAAAAGGUACAAUGCAAGCUAGUAAAUAAACGAGUUAUAUUGAAUGAUGAUUAAUAGUGAAAUGGUUAAGUAAAUAGCAUGUUAACGUUAAUAUGAAUUGGUAAGAAAAAUGUUGGUUAUGUUAAACAUGAAAUGGUCAUUUGUUGAUAGAUGAACAUGUAUUAUGGAUGAUUAAGUUGAAUUUGGUAAUGUUUUUUAAUGUGAAUUGAUAUGUUUUAGGUGCCAUUUGAGGCAUAUUGGUAUUUUGAUUGUAUGUGCUAUGAAUGUGUCAAAUUGGUAUGUUUUCUAUUGAAUUUAUGCAGGUUUUGAGUAGGAAUUAUUGUGCAUUUGAACAUAGGUUAUGCUUUGAAUAUGGUUAAACAUGAACUAGGCCCUAGAUGACAUAUUUUGUGCCACACAGUUUGGCCACACAAUCGUGUGUCACACAAGGGUUAGUGACACGACUGUGUGCCACUAAAAUAUAGGAUGUAUAAGAAGCACACGGUUCCCAAUUGAUACAGGGGCUGGCCAUACGCCCAUAUGACUACUGUAGUUAUGGUCAUUUAGUUUUCACACAGUUUCAAUUUGUUACACAGCCCAGCCACAUGGCCAUGUGACUUUUGUUGAAUAUUUGCAUUUUGACCCACACGACCAUAGUGAGUUACACGGUUUGGAUACAUGGUCGUGUGACUCCAAUUCUACACGGUUAUAGGUUGUUACACGGUUGUGUGACCCCUAUUUUGCACAAUUGCCCUUCUUUUUUGUAAAAGUUUCAAAAUGAUUAUUGUUUGAUAUCGGGUCAAUUUAAGAGCUUUUGUAAGCUCAAUUUAAACCAAAUUUUGUUUGCAAAGUAUGAUUUAUGUGAAUGUUUGUAUUUAUUUAAUGUAUAAUUGAUUUUUUUAUGAAACACGUGUAACUAUUUUGUUAAUUGUUGUAGCAUCUUGCCACUCGAGUCUGACGACCGAACCGGGUGAGGGGUGUUACAUACAUACUUGUGGAAUUAAAUUUUGGGGAUAGCUUUGAUUUCCUAAUUGAGUGGCCCAUGCAUUCAAAUGAUUUAUGUAACUUUAAGCCUUCAUUAGAAACUUAUGAAGGAGGCUGAAAAGAAGUUUAAUGACUUGAGAAUGGAGGGUUUCAUUGUGCUACCUUAUGAUAUAACCAUUCAUAGAAUUUGAAACACUGUCUUAGUUGAGUAAUUCCAUUUAGCUUCCAUAAUAUUGACUUCUAGUGAAGGUUCACCAAUAACGGUAUGAGGGCGCCCUAUACCCAUGCCUAGCCACACAACAGUGAAUAUGUGGUGUAUGGGAUUUUGUUUGGCCUAGAGGAGAAGGCGUAGUUGUAUAUAGUACAUUUUGGACUAUGUCUUGAUCGUAAGUGAGGGGCCUCUAAAGGCGUAACACAUGUAACAUUAUUAGACCCUUCUAAGGUUGAAGAAUGACAAUAUAAUAUAGGAAAUAGGGUCUAAAAGUUGUCUAGGGGUCUGGGGCUAAUGCACACACUACCGCGAAGCAUAUUAAUGCUAGCAUUAUUGCUGGUGCAAGAACCAGUUGAUCAUCCGUGGCACGUUCUUACUCUUAGGCUUUAGGUGAGGAAAUAACUUCUGCAACUUCCACUCUUGUGAUUGAAAUUUCCUCAGAUGGGGAGGAAGCUUCUUUCAAUAUCCCUACAUUGGGAAUGGCUAUAUAUGUGCAUACCCUUUGGGAAUUCAUUAACCAGUAGAAGGAGUGGGAAAAUAUGUGCUAGAGGGCUCAUAUAAGAGGGCUGAGAAUUUUAGUUGUACCUUCUCCACAACUAUUUUAUUUUUAUAACUUGUGAAUUUGAGUUUUUGCUUUAGGUCUGAUUGUUUGUCUUGCUUGUGUAGCUACUUCAACAGUCACAAUCGAAGGGAUGUAUGCUAAUUUUAUAGACUGUUAUUCCUGUCCCCAAUAGAAAGAGAGCUAACAACCCUUCAAGUAAUCAAUUAAAAAGGGGUAGGACCAAAACUACAAUGGUUCGUUCCUGCGAGGUGGUGAUCAAUAAGCCAUAUCCUACUACAACUAAUCCCAACACACUCAUUGUGACGAGCCAAGGUGUAUUUGGGAUCCUUUUUAGUGAUUAUGUGUUGGGAUUUAGUGCUCUUAGUGUAGUUAUUUCAUCAUAGAUAUAUUUGUAAUUUUUCGAAUAGAUUGGUUUAGAUAAAAUUCCAUCAUUCACAUUUUUAUUUUUUGUAUUUGUCCUCAAUGGUUUUUACAUGCAAAACAAAAUGUAUAAGCAUAUAUUGGCUCACUGAUUACCUUACGUUUGACUAAUAUUAACGUACAUUAUGUGGUUGGAUCAUAAUGCAAGAAGACAACUUAUAUUAGUAGGUAAUCUAAAUGGUUUGUAGAUUGAGUAAAUCAAUUCAAGACUACUAUGUUGUUUAUUAAGUCUAAUUGGGGGAUACCUUGUCUUACGAUUGGAAUGGAUAACUCUCAAAAGAUAGAGACAUAAAUGUAACUGACUAGACUGACAGUAAAUCGGAUUGGACCCAAGUAGAGUAGAUCCUAGAUUUGUUUAUGGAUUUAUUCACUUAUGACAUUCAUAGUGUGACUUACCUCAAUCCCAAGCAAGUGAUACAUUGUGUGUGCAUGACUCGUGUACUUUGAUGUAUUGUUAACUUGUGUUCAAUUAGUAAUAGAUUCGAAAGUUGGUACGUUGGAUAUGCAGCUUUUGCAUAACAUAGCUUCACGUACAAUAGUAGAAUUCAUAACCCAAUAAAGAGUAAAUGAUAUCCUCUCAUUGGCAUUACAUAAUAGGUGGGAAACGAGUCAUUUGUCUUAAGAUGAAUUAUUUAAUUACUAUUUGUUAGUAAUUUAUUUUUCAUGAAGUAAGAUGUAAUGAUUAUCAGGAAAUAAAAUAGGAUUAUAUUGAGAGAACAAAUUUAUCCCAAAGAGAUUAAAGAUAUCCUAUGAGGGUACCACAUAUGGCAAGGUCAUUGGACGAACAUUUAAUAAAGCAACUUUUGUAAUGGUAUAUAAUACGGAGAGCUCAAUCAUGGGACUUUAGUGGAAUGACUUCAUGAUUAAAUAAUGUUGUAAUUAAUAGACAAAGAUUUGGAACUUAAUUAAAAAUUAUUUGAAUCCUAAUUAUAUAUGUCUAGUCGGUUCCUCCGUUAGCUAGAUAUAACAUUGAUGGUUUACAUUAAUUGAUGAAAUGGAAACAUGUGAAACAAUGGACUAGAGAAAUAGAUCGCAUGUAUCAUUAUCUGCAGUGAAUACGUCUUCUUGCAAUAAACAAGAAGUGACUCAAAAAUUAAUUUAUAUAUUUGAAUUAUUUAUUUAAUUAUUCUAAAAUUAAAUAAUUAAAGUUCAAAGAAGAAAUUAAAUUAAUUCAAUCAACAUAGUUUCUUAAGAACAAGAUUAAUUAAAUUAAUUUACUAAAAUUUUAAAAAGGUAAAGUGGUUAUGACUUUCAUUGAAUUAACUUUGGGUUGAGAAAAUAAUUUAAUAAGUAUAAUUAAUUAGAUUAAAUGAAUAAGUAAUAUUUUUGACAUAAGAAAAUAUUUAUUGGUUUUGAAAUAUUUCAAUAAUUAUCCCACAACUUCCUUCAUAUCUAAGUAAAAUAAUCACCUUGGUCUCCAAGUAAAAAGAUAAGGACAAGUAUAAAGAUAAGGAUAGAAUAAAGCAUAGCUUGACAAUAAUUUGCGAAUAGUGUAACAAUCAUGAAGAUCAAAGUAAAAAAAUGCCAAUUUUAUAAUGUAGUUGAACUAUCUUGAAGACAUAUCCAAACUGUUGUUCAAAGGUUUGUCCAAACAACUGUUCAAACAAGGACAAACCAUGGUGAUAAAACAUGUAAUUCGAGAAACUAUUCAAACAUGAGAAGAUACUUCAAAUACAAGACAACUAAGAUCCCAACAUUUUUCAUCUUUCUAUUCUUUCACCAUUCAAUUUUCUAUCUUUUUUAUUUCCUUUGUUCUCUACCAAGUAAAACUAUUUGUCAUUACAAAGGAAACACAUGCCCUUGGAUUCUAUUUUGCCGCUGGGCAUCCCAUGAAUAAGUUGAAUUUGGGUGCGUUGUUGGCUAAAAGGAUGGUGGAUUGGUGCUUGUGGCUGUUGGUAGGUUACAGUAGUUUAGCCUCCACAUGAUAGAGGAAUUCAAGUAAUAUUGUUGGUGUUUGACCUUGAGGAAGUGGACCAACAGGGCCCUUGUGUCAUAUAAUUGGAGCUUAAUUUAGGCAUGAUACACCAUGGGAGGCUUAUGUACCCUUACGUUAUGUAAUUAUCAACCAUGGCAUAAAGAAUUAUGGUCUAAUUAAUUCUGCUAGUCAAAUACUUUCUGGAAAUUAUAACUCUUUGCAAUUACAAAAAGUAUAAUUCAAUUAUUUUGCUUUCAAAAUCCAAUCACUGAAAAGUAAAAUCUUUCCAACGCUUUUUCUUUGUUCACAAAAUUUGAACUCAAGAUAUUAAUUUAUUCAACCCAAUAUUGGUCAUUUUAAAGUAUUUUGUUUAAAAAGUCUUUGUACUCUUUUAAAAUUUAAAAUUAAUUAUGUAUUUUAUUUUUGAGAUAUUAAAUCCCAUUACUUUUUUUAUUUAAAAAUUAUGGUCUCUCCAUUUAACUAUUACUGAUGUGAUAAUUAGAAAAUAAAUAUAAUAUUUUUUUAACUCUCAAUAUUUAUAAUUUUUUUAUUAAUUUAAUCAUUGCUCUUUAAAAGUUAAUACUUUUUUAUUAUAAUUUAUAUAAUCUUCUUCCUUUCUACGUAAGUAUCUGUUACACUGCAACUCUUUUUACUGCCAUUUUCCCGCAUAUCUUCCUCUCAUAUUACUUUUCUUUUCAUAAAAAAUAAUAUUAUAUAAUUUUCAUUGUACAAUUAAAACCUUAAAUUGUAAAUAUUAAGGGCUAAAAAAGUUAUUCUAUCUAUUUUAUAAUCGUCAUAUCAACAAAAUUAAUGAAAAAUGGACAAAGGGAUCAAAAUUUUUAAAUAAAAAAGUUGUUGAGUGUUUUUCCGUUCUGUCAUAUUGAAGGGGACAAUCAAAUAUUUAUGCACAUGAUUAUUAUUCAUGGAAUUGAUAUUCUUGGUAAGCUCUAUACAUGCUGGAUACGUUUAUUGUUCUGGUUUGCUUGCUAGACUUCGUAGCCCCCACAUGCGAACUCCUUGCACAUGUGAACUAGGAGAGCGAACUACCCUUGCUAGCCCCUCUGCCUUACCCCCACUACAAGACCUGCAUGCAUCCAAUUGGUUGGGCCUAACCGGGUCACAGGUAGGUGAUCCAGAUUUUAUCUGGGUUUCGGGUUGGUGAUCACAAAUACGUAACAAUCUAGUCCCCCUAUUGAAUUUAAAGAGGGUUAUAAAGUGGCACUCCUUAGAGCCAUCACUUCGCAUUUAUACAACUUGUUGAAUAAGCGACCACUAAAGCAUGACGUUAGUCUCACCACAUGUACGGAGGGUUAUAAAGUGAUGUUCCUUAAAGCUAUCACUUCACAUUUAGACAGUUUGUUGAAUACGCUGCGACCACUGAAGCAUGGCAUUAGCCUAGCCACAUGUGCGGGUGGAUCAUGUCUAUCUGCAUCUGGUCGUUGGUGCUCAUCGGUUAUUUGAACCGUCAAAACACGGGAAAGAGAAACUCUUUAAAAAUAGGGUUUCAAAAGCCUUAAAACUCACAAACUUAACACUUUCUGCAACCAGAGUUGAUCGAGGCUUUUCUUUAAAGUAAAUCUUGUUAACUUCUUCGUUUUAUAUUUUAACUUUCUUCUUCUUCUUCUUUUUUAUUGAAACUAUGUCAAGAAUGAGAGGGACUGGUGGUCGAAUAACUCCCAGCUAUCCACCAUGAGAGCGUGCAACAAAAGUCUCUGUAGAAGCCAACUUUUGCAUCUGCACUGCAAAAGAAGAAGAGAUGACUCAGGCUUUAGCCAUGCGAGGGAUUAAAAUCCCCAACUUCACUUACGACUUCCCCAUUCUUAAGGGGCCACAUAGGUUGAGUGACACUAGUGAUGGUAACUUACUGCUCCCCUCCACGUUCUAAAAGCUGGAUUCUAUUUGCCCUUGAACCCGUUCUUCUGUCAUCUUCUCCAAUAGUACAGGAUCGCUCUUGGUCAGCUUUCUGGGUUUUCUUGGUGGAUCGCAGUGGCUUACUUCAUCGACUGCUACCGAUGCAAUGAAGUGUCACAGUUGCGGUUUUUCAACGUUUAUGUUUGUUGAAAGCCCAGAACUAAGGGAAUUUACCGGGCUUCUACUAUUUCUCUCCUCACGAAUAGGUUAAGACUAUAAUCGCCAACUGAUGUUUUAAUCUUCGACUGAAUCGAGGGAAAUGCAUUAGGGUGGAAUGUAGGCUCAGCGAUUGGUUUGGUUUGCCAACAGAGUGGUCGCACCAAACAGGGACGUGUCUAUUUAAGUGAAGCAUUACAACAAAAAAUGGUUCAGCCCAACUUGAAAGGCUUCACACUAGCAAUCCUCUGGUUGUAGAGGAUGUUAUAAGUGCAAUGAAUGUGUUUCGGUAUUGUUUGAAAGGCUUUAACCCCAAUGGAUGGAAGCGGGGUGACAGUAGGGAAGUGGCCAAAGCUGCUGGUGCGUGACCUAAAAGACAGACAUGGAUUUAUAGGGCUAGAGAUGACCUGGGUCUGAUAUUAACAAGAUAUAACGAGGAGCCUAGGAACUUCUUUUACAGUUUCUGCAGGAUGAAACUUCACCCUUGGAUCUCAGCGGUCUCAUCGCACAAAGAAAGUUAUGCAAAUAUUAAUUUGAUAAUUGCUUCCGCUGACCUUGGAAUUAUUAUUGGUGCAGGCACAGCUCGCGGUUUUGGAAGCGAUUUAGAGGAAACUACUAGUCUGUCUCGUGAAAUUAACAAAGUCAUGGACCUGCGAGCUUCUCUGAAGGACAUGUACAAGAAGCGCAGAACCGAUGUGGGGCCUAUGAAUGUGGUUAUCAGCAGUAAAGAGGAGGCAAAUAGUGGAAGACUAGAGUAUUACCGUAAAAGGAAAGUAAAUCAUACUAGGCCUUCUUCUAUGAUAACCGCUACUCUUAUUUCUCCCUCAGUAAGCUCGCCAUCAAUAGCCCAUGCAAGUUUUUUUAUUGCUGCUCAUGGCAUCUCUCCUCUUUCUACUCCUCUUUGUAUUCCUUCUUUUUUACCUCUUGUUGAGGAAACCUUAUCUGGAGAGGAUGGUGAGCUAUUCCCGUGGUGUGGACAUAUGAGUAUGUGAGAGUACCCCUAUGACCCCAACAAAGUGGUGGAGAAGUGGAAGGCUUUUUUACCAGAAACUACAAAAAGGAAAAUGUACAUCGCUGAGUCAUCGAGUGGUGCAAAGAAUCCUCUACUGUCAAAGCUUACCUCAUCCUUGCAAGUUCUGCUGGCUGAGGCUACUAUGGUUAACUUAAGCCUUAAUGAAAACGUUGGUAAAGCUGAGGCCAGUCAAAGGGAGCUCGAGGAAACUAAAGGGGAUUUGGAGAGAACUCACAAGUUAUACCUCAAGAUUAGGAAGGAGAAUAAAGAUCUUUAUAGAUAAAUUAUAGAGAUCGUUGGUCGUCUGGAAGCUGCUAAGGUCAAAAUUGAUGAGUUAUUUGAGAAGGUCACAGUUGAAAAAAAAAAGAAAAGAGGCCGUAGACUGAUUUGAAGAAAAUGACUAAAGAGCAUAAGGUAACUGUGAAUCGAAUUGUUCAAGAAUAGGAAGCUGCUAUGGCAAGGUCAGAGUAGAAACAAACUGAGGCCUUAGAAAAAUUUAAAGGGAAGACUCUGAAGAACUUGAGCAACCUUGAUUAAUAGCUCAAGUCGAAUGAACUUAUGCAUGCCCAAGUUGUAGGUGGCCUUUUUGAUGCUCGCGGGGUUGACCUCGAUGCUCUCUACGAUGUGGAUAUGAACCAACUGAGUGUCAAUGUUCGCUACCCUUCCGAAGCUUCCUGGGAUGAGUUCACAUCCAAAAUAAAAAACUCAAAAGGCUUUUACCAGGAUGAAGACCUAGCCGAAACCAACACUACUCCUGUUGACAACAAUGAAGCCAAUGUUGCUCCUACUAAUGGUAAUGACCACAUUGAAGUUGCUGGAAGAGAAGGAGAAAAUGAGAUCCUCAGCGACCAUGAAUGGGCUGAUAAUAUGCUUUAAUUGUAACUUUGUAUUAGUUUUCUCAUCUUGAAAUGAAAAUUUAAACUUUGAAAAUUUUCAAAUUUGCUUGUUACUAUUAUGACAUCAUAUCCUUUUGUGGACUUAUUUUAUCUUUUCGCAUAACACUACUGCAUGUACCAAAAAUUUGAACUUAAACAAAUUUUUAAAGAUAUUCUCAGAAACUUUUAAUUGACUUAGUGUAAUUCAAUGGUUCUGUUUUAAGUGACUUAUCAUCAAUUUUGACUUGAGUGUUCUUAAACAUCUGUGUUGUGAAUUUAAGUAAGCAAACUCGAAGGAAAUUAAGUUACGAUCUCAAAUCAAUUAAGCCUUAAGUACCACACAAGAAGGUAGCUUUGCUAGCUGUGUUGGAUUUGCGAGCUUAACUAUGCGAGCUCUUAUAAUGUCAACUGGGAGCAUAGGUCUGCGAGCUGCUUUAGAAGUUGUGAUUUUAAAUCGUCAAACCUUUAAGACAUCAACUGGGAGCGUAUGACCGCUAGCUGCUUUAGAGUUUGCGAUAUUAAACCGUUAAACCUUUAUGACAUCAACUAGGAACGUAGGUUCGCUAGUUGCUUUGGAGGUUAUGAUCUUAAACCGUCAAACCUCUAUGACAUCAACUGGGAGCGUAGGUCUGCUAGUUGUAUUGGAGCUGCGAGCUUAACUCUUCGAGCUUUUAUAAUGCCAGCUGGGAGCGUGGGUCCGCUAGCUACUUUGGAGGUUACGACCUUAAACCGUCAAACCUUUAUGACAUCAGUUGGAGCGUAGGUCCGCUAGCUGUGCUGGAGCUGCAAGCUUAACUGUUGCAGUAUGAUGCGAAGUUCGUAGGGCCCAAUAAGAUUCCUGGUAGUUCAUUUAACCACACACCCUUAGCCUCAACAACCUUCUUUUUUAAGGUUGUUAGAAUCUUCUUAUUCAUUGCUUUAGUUUGCCCAUUUGUUUGUGGUGUUUUAAUAAAACUCUAAGCCAAAGCAAUCUGAAGAUCUACACAAAAAAUUUUGAACUUUUCCUGAAACUGUGUGUCAUUGUCUGUGAUAAUCAGGUGAGGUACACCAAACCAUCACACAAUUGAUUUCCAAAGAAAAGACUCCAUUUGUUUCUCUAUGAUGGUCGCCAAAGGUUUAGCUUCAAUCCACUUGGUGAAAUGGUCAACAACCACCACUAUGAAUUUUUCUGUACUAUAGCCAUCAGGAAUGAAUUGAGAAUAUCAAUUCCCCAAGUCACAAAUGGUCAAGGGCUCGACAUGACUAGAAGAGGUUUUACUGAUUGUCGAUGCACCUGAACAUAUCUUUGGCAGGAGUCGCAUGUGUGAACCAAAUGAUGUGUAUCCUUUUGAACCAUAGGCUAGUAAUACCCUUGCCUGAAAAUUUUUUGGGUAGGUAGUCUUCCACCCAAAUGGUCACCACAAAUGCCUUCAUGAAUUUCUUACAUUACGUACUCAACCUCAAACGAUGAUAAACAUCGCAGUAGCGGAUGCAAAAACCCAUUUCUAUAUAGUACACCCAUUAAAAGAGUAUACAUAACAAUUGUAAGUCAAAACUAAUUAUUUUAACUCACUAUGUAAUUGAGUAAUUUAAAAAUUAUCUACACAGUACUCAAAUGUCUAAUUUAUAGAUUAAAAUUUUUCGGGAGUAUGUAACUUGUGACAAUGACAUACCUCGCAGCUUUAUGUUGUAACCUUGUGAGCUCUUUCUUGUCCAGAUUAUCAUACACUCUUUGUAAUGUGCGAACUAAGUGAGUAAUCAAUGUCUCUUCCUGAUCUAUAGUCAAAACUUGUUGCAUGUCGUGGCUCGGGGUAUCAUUGUACUCCAAUAAAAUUUUUCCUCUUUGUUCAAUGACAAUAGAUGAUGCAAAUUUAGAUAAAGUAUUUGUACGUUUGUUAUCACUCCUUAUGAACUGCUUCAUCUAAACUUUGUAAAAUCCUGCGAGCAACUGAAUUGCAACUGAAUGAUAUCUCUUUAACACUACUUCCUUAACCUCGUACUCGUCACUCAUUUACUUCGUCACUAAUUGUGAAUUUGUAUGGAUGAUCAUAUCCUUCACUCCUAGUUGGCGUGCUAGUUGUAACCCUGAUAUUAAAACUUCAUAUUCUAUUGCGUUUUUGGAUGUUUGAAAUCCAAAAGUUAAUCUGUACCGCCAUUCAUUCCCACUGGGAUCAAUCAGAAGUACUCCUACUCCUGAACCUGUCUUGUUUGUGGAGCCAUCAAAAUACACUAGCCACAUUUUCCAAUUAUCGAUUGUAUCUACAACCCCCUGAGGUGGACUAACUACUGGGUUGCAUACAAUAGAUGAAAAAUAUAUCUUAAAAUAAAGUGUGAGUUGAUCAUAAAUUAUUAUUAAAACAAUAAGCUAAAUUGUAACAGCUCGUUUUUCAGUGGUGAUAGAACAACGGUUUUGGAACCACAAAUUUCCAUCGUGUUGACCCGUAAGUAUUAUUUAUAGAAUAUUUACGAAGUCAUUAGAGUCGUAUUAAAAUUUGGUUAAGAAAUUUUAUCGUUUAAAUAGUUAAUUAAAAAAGGACUAAAUUAAAAAAGAUGUAAAACUUGGUAAUUAUUGCAUUUAGAUGAUUUAAUAGCUUAAAUAUCAUAGGAGGGAGGACCUAAGUAGUAAUUAAACCCUAGUUAUUAUUGUUGGAUGGCUAUUGGAAUGAAAAUAAUAAAAUAACACAUGUUUUAAUGGCAAAAUAGUAAUUAACAUAAAAUUAAAACAAAAUAAUUAGAAAAAGAUAGCAUCUUCUUCUCCAUUUUAUUUUCAAAGUUGGCCAAAAACACCAUAACAGAGAAGCUUAAACAUUCAGCUGGUUUGAGCCUUGCAUGGGUAAGUUUUGAGUCCCGUUUUUAAUGAAUUUUAUGUUUUUGAGAUCGUUACAACUAGGUCCAACUAAUUCGUACCUUCCUUUCUGAAUCUGUUAAAAUUUUAGAAGUUUCCAUUGAUGAAUCUUGAUUUUUUUAUGAUAAUUAUGUGUUUGAAGCUUUGAUUGUGGUAUUUGGUUGUUUUAUAAAGUAAUUUUAAUUAGUUUUUAUUUAAGGAUUAAAUUAUUAAAAUGUCAAAAUUUUAAGGUUUGAUGGUGAACGAGAUGUAUAAUUAGGACUGUUUAAGGGCCAAUAUUAUUCGGUUGUAAAUUUUGACUUUAGAAAAUAGUUAAUUUGAUUAUUUUCAGGUUGUUAACUUGAGAAAAUGAUUUUCAGUUGUUAAUUUGCUAAAAGUUGGAAAAGUUAGGGGUAAUUGUGUAAUUUUGAAAAAUAAAAUGUAACAGCCUGAUUUUAGUGGUGUUGGAAACAGUGGUUCGAGACCACCAAAUCCAACGAGUAAGCUCGUAAAAUUUUUUAUUUAGUCUUUAUGAGUCAAAUAUGGUUUUAGAAAGAUUUUUGAAGUGGUAAUUUAUGUUUUAUAAUGAAUUAUUAGGUUAGAAUGGUAAAAACCUAGGUCAAGUGGUUUUAAAAAAUGAGGCAUCGAGAUCGUGUUUCUAUAAACUGAGCCGUAAAUAUUUUUAUAAAUAUUUACGGAGUGUCAUUAACAUAGUAUUAAAGCUACGUUAAAAAAUUUUAACGUUUCGGUAGUUAAUUGAUUAAACAGGACUAAAUUGAAAAAGGUACAAAACUUGCAAAUUGUAAGAAAUAAUUGAUUAAAUGACUUACUUAAUAAACAAUGGAGGGCUUAACGAGUAAAUAUGCCUAAAAUAAAAGGGUAGGACGACAUGUAAGUGUGAAAUAAUAAAAUAAAGUAAACGAAUGGCAAAAUUGUAUUUUGCAUGAAAUUAAACAUACAAAUUAAAAUUAAAAGAGAAUUCUAGACAACUUUCUUCUUCAACUUCAGUAAACCGACAUGGGAGAGAGUUUCUAAGCUAGUUUUUCUUAUUUUUGUUGCAUGUGAGUCUAAUUCUUACAUGUUUCUUGUAUUUUUAUGUUUUUGAGAUUGUUACAAUUAGGUACAACUAAAUCCUACCUUAGUUUUUGAUUUUAUUAGAAAUUUUGAAAGUUAUCAUUGAUGAAUAAUAGAUUUUUUUGAUGAAUAACAUGGAUUUAGAGUUUUAAUUUUGUUGUAUGAUGAUUUUAUAAAGUGAUUUUGUUAAAUAUUGAUUUUAGGAUCAAAUUUUGAAAAAGUUAAAAUAUUAGGGUUUGGUAUUAAAUUUCUAUUUUAUUAAGAGCUGUAUAAUAACCUAGAAUGUUUAGUUAAAUUAUUAAUUGAGGAAAAUUAGUUAAUUUGAUAGAUUAACUAGUUAAUGAACUAAAUUACAAAAGUUGUAAAACUUUGGGGUAAUUGUGUAAAUUUGAAAAUUGAAAGGUAGUAAUUGUGAAAUGAAUUGGAACUAAAAUAUAUGCUAAUGAAUGAGUAAUUUUAUAUUUUAGAUGAAGAUCCCGUAUAUACUCGUAAAAAAGGAAAAUUAGCAAAAUAGUCCUUAAACUUUUGCAAAUAUUACAAUUUAACCCAGGUAAGUUCGUACGGUUAAAAGUUAAUAAUUAUAUUGAUUUGAUGAAUGGUAUUAUAUAUAUUUAUUCUAUUGUUGAAAAUGAAUUAUUGUUGAAGUUAUAAUUUUGUAUUGAAUAAUCGGAUUAAAUGGAACGCGAGAUUUGAGUACAUUCGUUAUGUGGCGCAUGGCAAUAUUGGAGGAAAAAGAUGAAUAAUUAUCCAGGUAAAUCUGGGUUCAGUAUUUGUUGUGAACUCUCGUGUUUUACUUUCUGUUUAGCUAUUACGAGCUUCUAUUUAACUCAUAUGAGUUUCUAUUUAGCUCUUAUGAGCUUCUGUUAAACUCUUAUGAGUUUUUUUUCAGCUCUUACGAGCUUCUGUUCAACUCUAAUCGGUUUUUGUUUAGCUCUUAUGAGCUUCUAUUUAGCUCUCAUGAGCUUUUGUUUAGUUUUCGGGAUUCUUAAAAUGAUGUACUCUUAUACAUAACCCGUUCUUCAGUUUGGGAAAGAUUUGGUAAGGUGAUUUAUAUAUUGAAAUCGAAAGACAUAUUAUUUAUUUUUGGUAUUAACUUGAAACAAGUGUAUUCAUCGAUUUAAGUUGUGGUUGACAGGGAGUUUACAUGAAUGAUUUUAUUUAAUUGAUUUGUUAUAGUAGGUUCGGUAAGAUUUAUGUUUAACCCACCGAACUUACUAAGCUUCAUUAAGCUUAUGUGUAUUGUUUCUUGUCUUUGUAGAUUUUCAGAAGGUUGGGCGAUUGGAUCAACAUUCAAAUCACACUAUCCAAUUUAUUCCGGUAGUUUUUGAAACAUUCAAUACGAUUUAUAUGGCAUGUAUAGGGUUGGUGUAGAUUUGAUUAAAAUUUGUCUUGUGUAAAUGUUAGGAGUGAUGUUUUGUUUAUAAAAUCAAUUUAAAUAUAUAUUUUGGUUUGGAAAUGAAGUAAAUUUGUGAUGUGGGUGUGAAUGAUAUAUGUUUGUAUGUAUUUAAUUUGUGGUAAACUUUAGUAGAAUUGCUAAAUUGAUUAAAUAGGUAAGUUUGAGUAUUUGGGUAUGUGUGAUGAUAUGUUAUGUUUAAAACAUGAUUUUGGCUUGUUUUGAUUGCUUUGUUAUGGCUUAUUGAUGUGUUAAAAUGUUGUGUUUAGGUUGGUACCAAAAUGAGUGAGAAAUGUGGCCUUGAAAUGGCCUAUUUUCAUCCACACAAGUAGAGACACGGGUGUGUGUCUCAGCAGUGUCUGACACAUGGCCAAGUGACACGGCCGUUUGUCCCCUGUAACUUAGAAAUUUGUACAAGUCAGUAUCCUCACACGGCCUAGCAUACUGUCAUAUGGCUUGGCCAUGUGACCCAAGUAAGAGAGCUCCUAAGUUUGGACACGGGCUGGGACACGGCCGUGUGCCCUUAUUUCGAAUGCCCACACGGCCUGAGACACGGGCGUGUCUCUUGAUCGUGUGAGCCACACGACCUGGCCACAUGGGCGGGUGUCCCCUGCGCCUUUGAAAAUUUUUUAUGUUUCCUGAAAAAACAAAUUUUCUCUAAGUACCCGGUUUAGUCUUGAUUUAUUUUUAAUGUGUAUUUUGGGCCUCGAUGGCUCAUAUAAGGGACUUUAUGAUUGAUUUAUGAUAUGAAUACUAUAUGAUGAGAAAUAUCAGUUUUCUUGAUUUGUAAAUAUCGGUAAUACUUCGUAACCCUAUUCUAAAAACGGAUACGGGUUAGGGGUGUUAUAUUUGUGGUAUCAGAGCAUCAAUUUAGCCGAUUCUCAGACUAAACGUAGCAUGUGAAAUAUCUAAAAAUACAUGCCAUAUAAAUCUGUGAUAGUGUGAUGCGUAUGAUCCGAUCUAACCUUUGUUUUCUUAUAGAUUGUAAAGAUGUCAGAUGGAUCUGAACGUGCUGAAAAUGAUGAGGUUAAUAGUAAAGCACCAACUUCUUAACAUGGGAUGAGUAGUAAUGUCCUGAUUCCUCCGGUUCAGGAACAAGAACUUUAAAUCAUGUUCUUUAGGUAUAUGAACCAGUGGUUCAACGAGUUUAUGCAAGAAAGAAAUCCGGCUCAGCUACCUCCACCCCCUACUAUACCAUUUGUAGUACCUCCGGUUGCACCUCCACAUCCUCCAGUGACUGAACCUACUAGACGUACUCCAAUUGAGAAACUCAGAAAGUAUGGUGCUGAAGAAUUUGGAGUAGGUCAGAGGAUGAUCCAGUUAAAGUUGAGUAUUGACUUCAAAAUAUAAUAAGGGUCUUCGAAGUAAUGGCUUGUUCCCCUGAUGAUUACCUUAUAUGUGUUGUUUCAUUAUUGAAAAAGGAAGCAUAUAACUAGUAGUCGACAAUAGUAGCUGUGGUACCAAAAUUGAAAAUUUCCUGGGAAUUUUUCCAAACUGAAUUUAAAAAGAAAUAUGUAGGAAAAAGGUAUUUGGAUAAAAAAAAAGAGAAAAUUUCUUGAGUUACGUCAAGGAUAUAGAUCAAUAGCUGAGUAUGAGAGAGAAUUUGUAUAUCUCAGUAAAAAUGCUCAAGAAAUUGUGUCAACUGAAGCAAAAAUGUGUAUCUGGUUUAAAGAUGGGUUGAAUGAUAAAAUUCGAAUGAUGAUCGGAGGUAAUGAAAUACAAGAAUUUGUUGUCUUAUCUGAUCGUGCAUAGAAAAUGGAAAAAGUGUACAACUGUAAGAUACAACGAGACAGGCGGAAUCGAGAAUUUUACAAAAGAGACUCUUCUAAAUCAUUUUCGGCAUCACUAGAGAAAAAGUCUAAAGAUGAUUUUAGUCGAGCUACCUUAGUGCCUUAACGUUCAAAUAAAAACAAGACGAUCCAAUACGAUUUCAGGGUGCCUACUAGACUAAUUGAUAGUGUAGAUAGUGUACAACUUACUCUAAAGCCUAAAUAUAGAUACUGUGGAAAAUAUCACCCUGGCGAGUGUAAAAGUAAAAUGGGAGCCUGUUAUAGGUGUGGAUCAACUGAUCAUUUUAUUCGUGAUUGUCUCAAAUUGCUAAGAGAAGAUUAUGUGCAGAAAGAACAGGAAUUGUCUACUUCUCAGAAAAGUAGAUGCUCGGACCAAAAUAGUGCUACUAGUACUGCUCAUUCAGGAAUGAAAGAUACUGUUGUUCGGUCAGAAGCUAAAGCACCUGCACGUACCUACGCCAUUCGAGCUAGAAAGGAAGCUACUACUCCAAAUGUGAUUGCUGGUAUAUUCUAUCUCUUUGAUGUUACUGUGUAUGUUUUGAUUACCCUGGGUCAACUCAUUCUUAUAUUUUCACUGUAUUAGUAACAAAAAGAAAGUUGCCUUGAUUAUGAUAUUAAAGUUACUAAUCUAUUAAGUCAAAGUGUGAUAGUUAAUUUAGUUAGUCGAAAUUGUCCACUGAAAGUUAAGAGCUGUGAAUUCCCUGCUGAUUAGAUGUUGUUACCCUUUCGGGAAUUUGAUGUUAUCCUGGCAAUGGAUUGGUCAUUUUUGCAUGAUGUUGUGGUAAAUUGUAGACAGAAAUGGAUUGAUUUGAAAUGUCAGAUAGGAUAGAUGAUUUCUGUUGAGUCUGAGAAUCCGAAAGAUGUUGUUAAAAUUAUUUCAGCUUUUUCUGCUCAGAAAUUGAUACAAAAAGGUAACGAAGCAUUUCUAGCAUAUAUCCUUGAUACCCGAGAUUUAGAAUUGAAGCUAGAUCAGUUACCAGUUGUUAGUGAGUUUGCUGAUGUAUUUUCUAAAGAAUUGUCAGGUUUACCUCCUAACCGUGAAGUGGAGUUUGUAAUUGAUUAGAUUCCUAGAACUGCUCUGAUAUCAGUAACACCAUACUGUAUAGCACCAGCUGAACUAAAGGAAUUAAAAGCAUAGUUGCAAGAGUUAUUAGACCGAGGGUUUAUCAGACCAAGCAUGUCUUCUUGGGGUGCACCUGUUUUGUUUGUGAAAAAGAAAGACAAUUCUUUGAGAUUGUGUAUAGACCACAAACAAUUUAACAAAGAUACAAUUAAAAAUAAAUACCCUUUACCACGUAUCGAUGAUUUGUUUGAUCAACUGAAAGGUGCCGCAGUGUUCUCAAAAAUAGACCUUAGAUUUGGGUAUUAUCAAUUGAAGGUUAAAGAAUGUGAUGUGCUAAAAAAUUCUUUCAGAACUCGUUAUGUUUAUUAUGAGUUUUUGGUAAUGCCAUUUGGUUUGACUAAAGCCCCUGUUGCUUUUAUGGAUUUAAUGAACCGAAUUUUUCAACCUCACUUGGAUAGAUUCGUGGUUGUGUUUAUUGACGACAUACUAAUCUAUUCAAAGACAGAAUCCGAGCAUACACAACAUUUAAGGAUCAUACUACAGACUUUGAGAAAAAAGCAGUUGUAUGCAAAGUUUAGUAAAUGUGAAUUCUGGCUUCGUGAGGUUGGAUUUUUAGGUCAUAUAGUAUCAGCUGAUGGGAUUCGAGUUGAUCCGAGUAAAGUUUUUACUGUGAUAAAUUGGAAAACUCUGAAAAAUGUUUCAGAAGUGCAAAGUUUUCUGGGUUUACCAGGUUACUACCGACGCUUUGUCAAAAACUUUUCAAUUAUUGUUUUACCGAUGACCCAAUUAUUUCAAAAAAUGUGGAGUUUGUUUGGUCCGAAGAGUGUCAACAGAGCUUUGAUCAGCUAAAGAAAAUGUUGACUGAAACUCCACUCUUGACUCAGCCAGAAUCUGGUGUAGCGUAUGUUGUUUAUAGUGAUGCAUCUCUCAAUGGUUUGGGUUGUGUACUGAUACAGUCAGGAAAGGUAGUAGCUUAUUCUUCUCAACAAUUAAAGUCGUAUGAGAAGAAUUAUCCUACACAUGAUCUUAAGUUGGCUACGAUCAUAUUCACUUUGAAGAUUUGGAGACAUUAAUUAUACAGCGAGAAAUGUUACGUGUUCACAGAUCACAAAAGUUUAAAGUAUUUCAUGACCCAGAAAGAAUUGAAUUUAAGAAAGAUGUGUGGUUAGAAUUACUCAAAGAUUACGAUCUAGUUAUUGAUUACCACCCGAGAAAGGCUAAUGUGGUUGCGGAUGCAUUUAGUCGAAAAUCAUCAUUGUUUGCACUCCGAGCAUUGAACGCUCAUUUAACUCUUAGUGAAGAUAGUUCUGUAUUAGCCGAAUUGAGAACGAAACCCCUGUUUCUGUAACUGAUUCGAGAAUUGCUAAAUGACGAUCCGAAAUUGGUGUAGAAACGACAGAUGGUUCAGGACAAUCUGAGUUCAGAGUAUAGUGCUGAUGGUAGUGGUAUGUUGCGUUAUUGCAAUAGAAUUUGUGUUUCGAAUAAUUUGGAUUUGAAAAAUGAUAUUCUUUCUAAAGCUCAUAGUAGCACGUACUCCAUUCAUCCGGGGAGUACAAAGAUGUAUUGUGACUUGAAACAGAUGUAUUGCUGGCCGGGUAUAAAACAGGAAAUCUAUGAAUUUGUAGCUAAACGUUUGAUAUGUCAGCAGGUGAAAGCAAAACAUUAGGUACCAACGGGUUUAUUACAACCUGUUUUGAUUCCUAAAUGGAAGUGCGAACGAGUCACAAUGGAUUUUGUAUCUGGAUUACCUAUAACUCCGAGAAAAAAAGAUUCGAUCUGGGUGAUUGUUGAUAGAUUGACUAAAUCGACACAUUUUAUUCCAGUAAGAACAGACUUUACACUGGAAAAACUAGUGGAACUGUAUAUAUCUGAGAUUGUAAGAUUACAUGGAGUUCUGACCUCUAUUAUUUUGGAUCGAGAUCCAAGAUUUACAUCGAGAUUUUAGAGUAAUUGCAGCACAACAUUUCAUCCUCAGACUGACGGACAAUCAGAACGAGUAAUUCAGAUACUGGAAGAUAUGUUGAGAUAUUUUAUACUCAAAUUUGGAGGUAGCUGGGAAAUGUGUUUACCGUUAGCUGAAUUUGCAUAUAAUAAUUAUCAAUCCAGUUUAAAAAUGGCACCAUUUGAAGCUCUUUAUGAGAGAAUAUGUAAAACACCAUUAUAUUGGUCUGAACUGAGUGAAUCCAAACUAGUAAGAGUUGAUUUGAUCCGCGAGACUGAGGAUAAAGUUUAGAUUAUCUGGGAUAGUUUGAAAGAUGCUUCUGAUCGUCAGAAAUCGUAUGCAAAUUUGAAAAGAAAAGAUAUAGAAUUUGCUGUUGGGAUCGGGUAUUCUUAAAAGUCUCUCCAUAGAAGAAAGUAUUACGGUUCGGCAAGAAAGGAAAGCUGAGUCCAAGAUUUAUCGGACCGUAUGAAAUCGUUAAAAGAAUCGGCCUUGUAGAUUAUAAAUUAGCUUUGCCUCUUGAACUUGAGAAAAUUCAUAAUGUGUUCCACGUAUCGAUGCUGAGACAGUACAGAUCUAAUCCUACACAUGUGAUUCCUCAUAGUGACAUUGAGCUACAGCCAAAUAAAACAUAUUCGGAAGAACAUGUGAGAAUUUUAGCUCGAAAGGUUAAAGAAUUGCAACAUAAACGAGUACCAUUGGUAACAGUAUUGUGGCAUCGUCAUGAUUCGGAAGAAGCGACUUGGGAAACAGAAGAAUCAAUGAGGUCAUAAUUUCUGAAUCUAUUCUCAGGUAACAAAUUUCAAGGACAAUUUCUUAAAGGGGAAGAGUUGUAACAGCCUGAUUUUCAGUGGUGUCGGAAACAGUGGUUCGAAACCACCAAAUUUGACCAGUAACCUCGUAAAUUUUAUUAUCUAGUAUUUACGAGUCAAAUGUGGUUUUAGAAAGAUUUUUGAACUGGUAAUUUAUGUUUUAUAAUGAAUUAUUAGGUUAGAAUGGUAAAAUCCUAGGUCAACUGGUUUUAAAAAAUAAGGUAUCGAGACCUCGUUUCUAUCAACUGAGCCAUAAAUAUUUUUAUAAAUAUUUACGAAGUGCCAUUAAGAUAGUAUUAAAGUUUCGUUGAAAAAUUUUAACAUUUCUGUAGUUAAUUGAUUAAAAAAGACUAAAUUGAAAAAGGUGCAAAACUUGCAAAUUAUAAGAAAUAAGUGAUUAAAUGACUUAAUUAAUAAACAAGGGAGGACUUAAGGAGUAAAUAUGCCUAAAAUGAAAGGGCGGGAUGGCAUGUAAGUAUGAAAUAAUAAAAUAAAGUAAAUGGAUGGAAAAAUUGUAAUUUGCAUGAAAUUAAACAUACAAAUUGAAAUUAAAAGAGAAAUCUUAACAAUUUUCUUCAACUUUAGUAAACCGACAUGGGAGAGAGUUUCUAAGUUGGUUUUUCAUGUUUUUGCUGCACGUGAGUCUAAUUCUUACCCGUUUCUUGUCAUUUUUAUAUUUUUGAGAUUAUUACAAUUAGGUACAACUAAACCCUACCUUAGUUUUUGAUUUUAUUAGAAAUUUUGAAAGUUACCGUUGAUUAAUAAUAGAUGGUUUUCAUGAAUAACAUGGAUUUAGAGUUUUGAUUUUGUUGUAUGAUGAUUUUAUAAAGUGAUUUUGUUAAAUAUUGAUUAUAGGAUCAAAUUGUGAAAAAUUUAAAAUAUUAGGGUUUGGUAUUAAAUUUAUGUUUAAUUAAGAGUUGUAUAGUAGCCUAGAAUAUUUAGAUAAAUUAUUAAUUGACAAAAAUUAGUUAAUUUUAUAGAUUAACUAGUUAAGGGACUAAAUUAAAAAAGUUGUAAAUGUUUGAGAUAAUUGUGUAAAUUUGAAAAUUGAAGGGUAUUAAUUGUGAAAUGAAUUGGAACUGAAAUAUAUGCUAAUGAAUGAGUACUUUUAUAUUUUAGAUGAAGAUCCCGUAGAUACUCGUGAAAAAGGAAAAUUAGCGGAAUAGUCCCUGAACUUUUACAAGUAUUACAAUUUAACCCAGGUAAGUUCGUACGGUUAAGCUUUAAUAAUUAUAUUGAUUUGAUGAAUGGUAUUAUAUAUAUUUAUUCUAUUGUUGAAAAUGAAUUAUUGUUGAAUUUAUAAUUUUGUAUUGAAUAUUCAGAUUAAAUGGAAUGCGAGAUUUGAGUACAUUCGUUAUGUGGUGCAUGGCGAUAUUGGAGGAAAACGACAGCAAAUUACCCAAGUAAACUGAGGUUCAGCAUUUGUUACGAACUCUCAUGUUUUACUUUCUUUUUAGCUUUUAUGAGCUUCUGUUAAACCCUUAUGAGCUUCUGUUCAACCCUUAUCGGAUUCUGUUUAGCUCUUAUGAGCUUCUGUUCAGCUUUCGGGCUUCUGAAAACGAUGUACUCUUAUUCGUAAGUCGUUCUUCAAUUUGGGAAAUAUUUGGAAAGGUGAUUUAUAUAUUGAAAUCGAAAGAAAUAUUAUUUAUUUUUGGUAUUGACUUGAAACAAAUGUAUUCAUCGAUUUAAGUUGUGGUUGACAGGGAGUUUACAUGAAUGAUUUUUAUUUAAUUGAUUUGUUAUAGUAGGUUCUGUAAGAUUUAUUUAAUUGAUUUAUGUGUAUUGUUUAUUACCUUUGUAGAUUAUCGAAAGGUUGAGCGACCGAAUCAACACUCAAAUCACACUAUCUAGCUUAUUUUGGUAGUUUUUGAAACAUUUAAUACGGUUUAUAUGGCAUGUAUAGGGUUGGUGUGGAUUUGAUUAAAGUUUGGCUUGUGUAAAUGUCAGGAGUGAUGUUUUGUUUAUAUAAUCAAUUUAAAUAUAUAUUUUGGUUUGGAAAUGAAGUAAAUUUGUGAUUUGUGUGUGAAUGAUUUAUGCUUGUAUGUAUUUAAUUUGUGGUAAACUUUAGUAGAAUUGCUAGAUUGAUUAAAUAGGUAAGUUCGAGAAUUUGGGUAUUUGUGAUGAUAUGUCAUGUUUAAAACAUGAUUUUGGCUUGUUUGAUUACUUUGUUAUGGCUUAUUGAUGUGUUAAAAUGUUGUGUUUAGGUUGGUACAAAAAUGGGUGAGAAAUGUGGUCUUGAAAUGGCCUAUUUUCGUCCACACGGGUAGAGACACGGGUGUGUGUCUCAGUCGUGUCUGACGCACGGUCAAGUGACACGGCCAUGUAUCCCCUGUAACUUAGAAAUUUGUACAAGUCAGUAUGUUCACACGGCCUAACACAUGGGCGUGUGGCUUGGCCGUGUGACCCAAGUAAGAGAGCUCCCAAGUUUGGAAACGGGCUGGGACAUUGCCGUGUGCCCCUAUUUCGAAUGCCCACACGGCCUGAGACACGGUCGUGCCUCUUGACCGUGUGAGCCGCACGGCCUGGCCACACGGGCGUGUGUCCACAGCACCUUUGAAAAUUUUUUAUGUUUCCUGAAAAAAAAAUUUCUCUAAGUACUGGGUUUAGUCCCGAUUUAUUUCUAAUGUGUAUUUUGGGCCUCGAGAGCUCAUAUAAGGGACUUUAAGAUUGUCUUAUGAUAUGAAUACUAUAUGAUGAGAAAUAUCAGUUUACUUGAUUUGCAAAUACUGGUAAUACUUCGUAACCUUGUUCCGGCGACUGAUACGAGUUAGGGGUGUUACAUAAAAGGGUAUAAAAUGCAGAGUUAACUAGAAUAUGAAAUGUAAGCUAAUAAUUGGGAAAUUGUACAUUUUAGAUUAAGACCUUUUUGAUUUACGUAAAAAGGGGAAAAUUACAAAAUAGUCCUUAAACUUUUGCAACUAUUACAAUUUAGUCCAGGUAAGCUCGUUCAAUUUUUAAUUUAAUAUCUAUAUGAAUUGUAUGAUGAUAUGGUAUGAAAUAGUGGAUGUUAAUUAUUCUAUUGGUGAUGUAAAGUUGUUUGGGAAAAUGUUAUUGAAUUUUGGUACUUGGGCCGAAUGAAUGCGAGAUAGAGAACAACUGAAUGACAGCGUGCUAUGCAGAUAUUGGAGUGGAGAUUGAUGUGGUGUGUUUUAUAUAUUUUUCCCGAGUAUACUGAGGUUCAACAUUUGUUGCAAAUCCUUGUAUUAUACUAUCUUGUUCUGGCGUGUUAUGAGGGGCAGAUGUAUAGCCUACGGGCUAGGCACUUAGUGUCGAGGCGUGUUAUUGGUUGGAUUAGCUCUUGUGAGCAUUUGGCAUGUUAACGGUUGGAUUAGCUCUUAUGAGCAUUUGGGGUGUUUUGGUUAGAUUACUUAUGUACUCGUAUCUGUAAGUCAUCCAUCAAGUCGUAAAUUAUUGUAUUAUAACAUGUUUAAUGACUUUGAAUGACAUGACAUGUACUAGAUAUCUUGAAUUGACUCUGUUAUGGACAUGUAUGUUUUCCGGAAAUUAUUAUUGAGCUUUAAAUUGAACUAUGUAAUUCACUGGUUUGAAAUUGUGGAUGACAGGAAACAUUUGUUGUUGAAUUAUGUUUGAUUAAAUUGUUAUAUUUACUUCGGUAAGAUUUAUUGUUUCUGUCUCUUGAACUUACUAAGCUUCAAUAAGCUUACUUGUGUUCAUUUUUGUUUCUUGUAGAUACUUUUGAGGGUUGGAUGAUCAGAUCAACACUCAAGUCACACUAUCCCUCUGAUUUCAGUAGUUUUUGAACGUUUAUUUUGGAUUAUAUGGCAUGUAAUAAGUUGUUAUGUCAAUAACCUCGUUUGAUAUGUAUAUAUAUCUAUAAGGCAUGUAAUUAGUUAAUCUUUUAAUCGAUGUUGUCUUGUAAUAUGAUGAUUGUUACAUGAUUGCUAGGUUUGGUGGUGAAUAUAGUUCAUUUUGUGAAGUUGUGGUUAAGUUUUUGGUAAGCUUUGCUAUGAAUAAAUAUGAUACAUGUUUGAUAUUAACUUAGCAAGUUAUAAGGUUAGGUAUUCAGCUUAAAAUUGAUAAGAUUAUAUAUUUUGAAUGGAUGAAUAGUUGAUGAUUUAUAUGUUUGUAUAAAUGUGUAUACUUGCGGUACCAUUGAGGGUACAUUGGUUAGGCAUUUAAGAUGGUUGAUUUAGCAUGAUUUGAGCAUGUUUAAUGGAAUUUUGAAUAAGUCUAAUGGUUGGUAAAUGGAUUGCUUAGUGUUCAAGAAACCUUGAAAUGGUAAACUUAAUGUUUAACGUUCAUUUAGGUGCACAGGGCCUAGGACACGGGCUAUCACACGGCCGUGUGCCACACAUGGUCUAUGACAUGGCUGUGUGUAACAAGUCAGUGAGUCACACGGUCUGCGACAUAGUAGUGUGUAUUAAGUCAGAAAGUUACACUGUAUGGCACACAAUUUGCGACACGGUCGUGUGUAUCAAGUUAGUGAGUUACAUGGUUUAAGACACGGGCUGGGACACGGCCAUGUAUCCCAAUUUCGAAUACUCACAAGGCCUGGGCUAUGUCACACAGCUGUGUGUCCCUUGUUUUUGAAAUUUUUCAUAUUUUCCUAAAAUUUCCUGACUUAUUUCAAAUUAGUCCCUGAAAAUUUUAAGAUUAUUUCUUUAGUCCCUUUAAGCUUGAUUUAAGCCUCGUAAAUGUAAGUUAUUAUUGUAAUUUAAUUACUUUAUGGUAUUUGAGAAAUUAUAUUGUAAUGAUCAUGAUUUUUACCUGUUUAUUUCUAUUAACUUGCUAUAGCAUUCUCGUAAUCCCUAUUCUGGUGACGGAUACGAGUGUUACAUAAAUUUUUGUUGUUCAUCAAUUGUUCACAGGAAAUUAUGAGUACCAUACACGUUUAAUUUCAUAAAAUAUUCAUAGCUCUAUAUUUCAAGUUACACACUAUAUUACCUACUGGAUCAACAGUCUUUUCAAAAGAGCACUCGACUAUAAAGUCGACUAAUAUCUGUCCUUUUAUGGUUGUUCUCAGGGCAAACUCCAUGCCAAAUUCAGCUAACUCGAUACUUCACUUCUUCACCCUUCCCGAAGUAUCAGAUUUAGAUAAAAUUUCUUUUAUAAGCUUAUUAGUCAUGACGACAACUAGAUGAGCCUAGAAGUAGGGGCGUAGCUUACGAGUUGCAAAAAUUAGAGUAAAGAUGAAUUUUUCAAUUUUUGAAUACCUCAGCUCGCCGUUCUAGAGUACCUUACUGACGUAGUAUACUGGGAAUUGAUGAACGUCUUCUGUUCUAACUAGGACUACUGCAAUUGUUUCCUAUGAGGUAGCCAAGUACAAAUAGAGGGUCCCUCCCACUCGUGGUAACUUCAGAAGUGGUAGGGAGGUGAUGUAUAACUUAAGCUUUUCAAAGGUUGAUUGAUACUCCUCAGUCCACAAAAAGGAGGUCAUCAGGGCUUUGAAGAAGGGAAGGCAUUUAUCCGCUAUCCUAGAGAUAAACCUGUUAAGCGCCAUUAUUUUUCCCGUGAGGAACAGAAUAUCUAUAAUAGUCUGCGGAUGAGGCAUUUCCAAGAUAGUAUGAAUCUUUUUUUGGUUCACCUCUAUCCCCCUUUCUGAGAUCAUAAAGCUUAAAAACCUACCAGCUCGUACACCAAAAGCACACUUCUCAAGGUUCAACUCCAUGUUGUGGGUCCUCAAAACUACGAACACCUCUGACAAGUUUCGCACGUGCUCUUCCAUGGUUGUACUUUUUACUAACAUAUCAUCGACAUAAAUUUCAAGACCAUGCCCUAUCUACUUCUUAAAAAUCUUGUUCACCAGUCUCAAAUAGGUUGCUUCGACAUUCUUGAGGCCAAAAAGCAUAACCCGAUAGCAGAACAACCCCUCCUCAGUGAUGAAAGUUAUUUUCUCAUGGUCAUAUUGAUCCAACAAAAUUUGGUUAUAACCCUAAAAGGUGUCCAUUAAGCUCAUGAACUUGUGACCUAAAGAAGCAUUAACCAAACGGUCAAUCGAGGGUAAAGGGAAGUUGUCCUUAGUGCACGCUUUGUUGGGGUUGGUGGAGCAAUACACAUCCUCAAUUUGCCAUUUUUUUUGUUCACCAUAACCACAUUUGUGACCCAAUUUAGAUACUCAACUUCCCUGAUAAAACCUGCCGACAACAAUUUGGCUACCUCUUGCCUCACGGCUUCCAUCACCUGCGAAGCAAACUUUCUCUUUUUCUUCUUAACAAGCUUGGCUUCAGGAAGUACAUUUAGCCUGUAGACAAUUACCUUACGAGUCAAUCCCUGGCAUAUCUGCUGCUGACCAGGCAAAACAUCGGAGUCCGCUUUCAAAAACUGAACUAAAGUGUCUUUUUCUUCAGGUAAUAAUAUUGAUGAAAUUUUAAUUUUCCUUUGUUCAUCAUCGUAAAAUAGCUGUAAAGCCUCUGUGUGCUCUACUACUUCAGGUUUCUUACUUCUCUCUUCAUCCAUCUCAUCUAGUCUAUCUAAGUCAAAGGCUUGACUAACCAACUUUGUGCUCUACGAACUCUUCCCCUCGGUUGCAGACUCUCGUGCCUGUUUCACAAACAACAUGUGACAUUGUCUCGUUGUUCGCUGGCCAGAUCGCCUGAACUCCAUCAUUGUCCUUAUCGAAAAUUUGAUCUUUAUACAAAAUGUCACCAUUACUAUCUUUACUGUUCUUAUAAUCGGGCACCCAAAAAUGGCAUUAUACUCCACAGGAUGGUCUACGAUAAAAAACUGGACAUAUUCUGUAGUCGUAUGCUCACUAUCUCCCAAGGUGACUGGCAAAGUGGGUAGAACCAUUUACCUCAACUAGGUGGUUAGCAAAACCAUAUAGCGGACUAGCAUUAGGCAAAACCUGUUCCUUCAAGCCCUUCUUUUGAUAAGCUUCCUGGGUUAUAACCUCUAUCGCGCUCCCACUAUCAACCAAUAUUCUUCUUACCUCAAAACCUAUGAUCGUUACAGAUAUUACCAUCGGGUCAUUCCUUUCUUCAUCACACAUGAACUCCUCAUCGUCAUUACCAAACUCAAUAUUCCAUUUUCCCUAUUGAUAUGCCUUUUAGGUGGAUUUACUAUCAUAACACUCAUCAUGUGGCUUUUUCUCUUCGCAUUAGAACUUGCUCAGACCUCAUCUAUGCCUACAAUCACAUGGAUAGUACCUUGAUCCACAAACUCAGAGAGCUCAUCAUUUCUCACUGUCUCUUCGAUAGCAUCUUUCAAAGUAAAAUAAUAUUCGAUUUUGUGCACCACAUCAUUAUAGAAAGCACACCUAUCCCUAGAAUUUAACCUUUUGGAACUCUGCCUCAUAAGAGAUAGCUUAAGCAGGCUACCUAAACUCUUUACCUGGUUCAAUAUGUAUACAUGAGUAGCGUUCAAUGGAGUGUAGGCCUCAAACAUACCUUGAGAUAUAUACCUUCUUGUUUGCUUGGGUUGAGAUCCCUGAGGAGUCUUGGGAGAAUUACCCUAUACUUGCAUUCUCUGUUGUCUAUUAGCUCGGGCACGUAGAGCCUAGUUGGGUUACCCCUACCUACUGCGAGCUCUUUUUCUCUUUCUGAACUGUCUUCCAUCUCAUUGAAAUGUGCCACGCAUCGCUCUCUUAAUAUCUUCUGCUUCCGCGAACUUGUGAGCCCACUCAUACAAGUUCGCUAAAGUCUGAGGCUUGUUACCAGAAAGGAGUAUUGUACAUGUUCAUUUUGCACCCCAUGAUGAAGGCAUCGAUAGCCCAUUGGUCCUCAAGGUUCUUCGUAUUCAGUGUUGCUGCAUGAAAUCGCUUCACGUAAUCUUAGAGAGACUCUAUUUCUCUCUGUUUUACGAACAUUAAUCCCAUAGGUGUGCUCAUGAUCGUUCUGUGAGCCUUGAACCUUCUUAGAAACAUCUGACCCAAUUGGGACAAACUUCGGACUGAGCCUUAAAGAAAAGAUAAGUACCAAUAAUUCGUACUUCCCUUAAGCGUUGUGGAAAAAGAUUUACACUUCGUAGGGUCCAAGGCUUCCAUUACAUUCAUAUAAUCGUUAUAUUGCAUCAGGUAGGCUCGUAGGUCUCUCCUACCCUCGAACAUGUCUUUUAAGACCUUAAAAUCACGCAGUAGACUUAUUGCUGCUACCUCCGGGGCCAAUGGAUUGUUAGAACAGAAAAGUCAGUCCAUGUCCCUAGACUCAAGAGGCAAUGCCCUCACAUCUCGCCACAAUGCAUCCAUCUCAUUUUGCCAUUCCCUCACAUGUAAGCCUGGGCCUUCAUCCUACAUGGUCAUUUUAUCGUGAAAGUCAAAAUCAUCAGAUUGUACCUUUAUUUUAAGUUCUUCAUUUUGUUUUAAUAACUCCUGUUGAAAAGUUUGUUGCUGUUCAAACCAUGCAUUUUGUGCAACCAUUUGUUCCCUCAUAAACUUCAUCUACUCUUAAAGAGCAAGGAAUUGUUGCGGUGAUGCUUAUUGGUUGGAAGGAAGUGGCAAUCUGUGACCAGAAGGAAGGUUUAAGUCGAAUGGGCUUGAAACUCUCGGGUGAGCCAAAUUACCUAGAUUUUUCAACCGAUCAGCAAACUAGUCGACAAACAAGUCCGUUCCAGCAAGUUGGCUGCAAUAACUCUAGGCUUCAAGUUGUCCAAGUGAAAGAUCGAAAGGGAAAUUUUCAUUCGGGUAAGCCAUCAUAACUUUGGCAAUUUUUAUCAAACUGAAAAGAAAUUCGUUGGUCGAAAAUAUGUCCACGCUCACCGCACCAAUUGUUGAAUUUUUUUUGUUGUGUCUCAUUGAAGGGGACAAUCAAAUAUUUAUACACAUGAUUAUUGUUCAUGAAAUUGACAUUCUUGGUAGGCUCUAUGCAUGUUGGACACGUGUAUUGUCUGGUCUGUUUGCUGGACUUCGUAGCCCUCACAUACGAACUCCUUGCACAUGUGAACUGGGAUUGCAAACUACCCUUGUUAGCCCCUUUAGCGAACCCCCACUACAAGACCUACACACAUCCAACUGGUUAGGCCCAACCGAGUCACAGGUAGGCAAUUUAUAUUUUAUCUAGGUUUUGGGUUGGUGAACACAAAUACAUAAUAAAAGUACAAGAGCUUAAUAUUUAAAUAUAAAAAUUUAGAGGUUAAUUUUUUUAAUUUUAAUAGUACAAGGAACUCUAUGCAGCCAUAACAAAGAAAUUUCAAAAAAAAAUUACCAUAGUGAAGAAAAAGAGACUUUUUCUGUCAGAUUAGGUUUCUCUUUCUCUCUCUCUGAGAGUCUCUCUGACAGUCCUAUACUCUUAACUCUUAUCCUUUUUGCGGCUAGGGUUUUUCUUUCUACAGUACCUUUUCUAACUUUUUUUUUUAAUUUAUUAGAAGAUUGGUUUGGUUUCAUAAUAUAAAAAUCUAAUGGAAGUUUUGUAAGAGUAAGGGAUUUUGUGGUUAUUAUAAAAGAAAGAUUCUAGGGGGUUUGGAAGUGGUUAGUGUGGAUUGUUCAUUAAAAAAAAGAAAUGGCUGGUUUGAACCCUUUUGAUUUGUUGGGGGAUGACGACACUGGGGAACUAUCAUUGCUGAUCGCUGCUCAGCAAAAGGCCGUCGCAGCGGCCACUGCCACUGCUGCUGCUCCAAAGAAGGGCCCAGCAAAGCCUCAAGCUAAGACGCUGCCUGCAACUCAGGCUAAGCUUCCCUCCAAGCCUCUCCCUCCUACUCAGGCUGGUAAGUUUUCUCUAUCAAAGUGACUCAUUAUUUUCUGCUCUCUGUAUUGGGUCUUGAGUUUACCCGAUUGUGUUAAAUUCAAGUUUCAUUUUCUUAAUGGUCGAACUCUGGGGGGGGGGGUUAGUGGGUUUAAGUUUAUUCUGCUUCGGUUUCGUUUCUUGUAAAGUGCAGUUGGACUCUGAUUGUUAAAGACUAUUUGUUGUCGAUUAUUUACUUGGAAUAUAAUCAUUGAGAGUUUCUUAUCUGUAUAGACUUACUUCUUAUAGUGAACAGAGCAAAAGAUUCCGGAACGCAUAUUGGUUUGUUGCUGUUAUUUCUUUUCUAAAAUGAAAUCCAAUGCUGUCAAGUUGCACUCAAGCUACUAGAAUCCUUAUAUGUGGUAUAAAAGCUUAAGAUAUAUGGUAAUGAUAAUACACCUCUAAAAGAUAGAUCAAACUUUAAUCUCAUUAUCCUACAAAAAAAUGAAAUGUACAAUUUUUUGUUGGCCAAUGUGCAUGGUUUUUUUUUUUUUGGAUCUCAUGUCUGUUGUUGAAUAAUCAAGCAUUGAGAAGUAGAGUGUUUGGUAGUGUUCUUCUCUUCUUAGUAAAGGUAAAAUUAAUGAAAAAUAAAAUAAAAAAUGAAUGAAACUAAAGAAAACUUCAAUCAAGCAAACUUCUAAUCCAAUGCAUCUUGCCAAGAGGUCUUGAGGCGCUUUUGUUGUUUGAUGCUGAGGCACAGUGCCAAAGGUGCAUGCCUUAACUAUAGAAAUGAAAUCUGCAUUCUGUGGGGAACUCUUGUCUUUUAUAUCAUAUUCUCUGAAAGUGUCAAUUGGUGUUCCAUCAAAAAGGAGUUCUUUUUUACUCCUUUUCAAAGUGCUUAUGCAUUGGUAUGCAAUUUGUUUUUACUGAAGCUUGAUAGUUGUAGCUUUGAUAUCAUCUUGAUAGUUAUCACAGUUACUCGAAAUAUUUUUUUAUCUAAUAGUCAAUUAUAGUUUCUUUAUAGCUCUCUUGGGCUUAUCACUGAUGUCGUGUUCUUUUAAAGUGAGGGAGGCAAAGAAUGAAGGUGCUCGUGGCGGAGGCCGUGGUGGGCGAGGAUAUGGACGUGGUCGUGGUGGUAGCAGUGGAUACAGACGUGAUUUUGCAAAUGAUGAGAAUUCCUUCAGCAAUAGUGCUGUACCUGAAGAUGGAGAGAGUGGAAAACCCUCUGAAAGGCGUGGCUAUGGUGGUCCUCGACCUUACCGUGGUGGUCGCCGUGGCGGUUUCAGUAAUGGGGAAGAUGCAGAUGGGGAGCAACCUCGCAGGUUGUAUGAACGCCGUAGUGGGACUGGGCGCGGGUAAAAGAAAGAAGCGUUUGUUUGACAUUAGCUUUUAUAUAUUCUGCAUGUCAGCAUUUUAGCCAAGUCUCAAAACUGAUGUUUUUGCUUUCUGUUCAUGUCUGCAGGAAUGAGCUCAAACGUGAAGGUUCUGGUCGUGGAAAUUGGGGAACUCAGACUGAUGAACUUGCUCAGUGAGUUAUCUCUAGAAGUUACAAUCACAACCUUCAAUUUUAUUGUAAAAUCAAUAAAAUAUCACUUUGUUUCACUCUUCUUCCCAUAUUAUAAUCAUAAAAUGAAAUGAAAUAUUGUAUUUUUAUUGUUAAGGGUGACUGAAGUUACCAAUGAAGGUGAGAGGAAUUUAGGUGAUGAAAAGCCAGCAGGAGAAGAGGAUGCUAGAGAGGCUAACAAGGAGAGUGCUUCAAACGAGCCUGAAGAAAAAGAGCCCGAGGAUAAGGUAAAGGGUUAUUGACGUCUGCAACUUUUGUUAAUUAUAUAUGAUAGCUGCUAAUUUGGCUAUUACUUUGUUCAACCUUUCAUAUUGCAUUUUUAUAGGAGAUGACUCUUGAGGAGUAUGAGAAGGUGCUGGAAGAGAAGAGGAAGGCUCUGCAGGCUCUCAAGAUCGAGGAAAGAAAAGUAGAUGCCAAGGAGUUUGAAUCUAUGCAGCAGCUUUCAAACAAGAAGAAUAAUGAUGAGGUCUUCAUCAAAUUGGUAAGACCCUUUGAUUCACUUUGAGAAGUUCGUCAUUAAUGACUUCAUCUUAUUAUUGGGAAAAUAUGUAGUAUUAAUCACUUGUUCCCUAUAAUUGGCUUCUACAGGGAUCUGAUAAAGAUAAGAGAAAAGAGGCUUAUGAGAAAGAAGAGAGAGCAAAAAAGGUAUUUUUACUUAUUUUUAUUAGCCUGUGUCAUAACUUGCCCCUUUUCCUGUUUGAACCUCAAUCACGCGAUUAUUCUGUAUUUAAGGGGCCUUAGUUUAUGCUGUUAUCAGACUCCUUUGAUUUAAGAUUUUCCCUUUUUCCCUUUCUCUUCCAUGAUUAAAGCUUGGAUAUGUGCUUUUACUGUUUUGUGCAAGUUUAUCUGUAGCUUGCAUUUAUAUGUUUUGCUGGCAUGUACUGAUGGUCCGUAUACAUGUGGUGGUGGGUAGUCUGUCAGCAUUAAUGAAUUUCUGAAGCCAGCUGAAGGGGAGAGGUACUAUAAUCCAAGUGGACGUGGACGCGGUCGUGGGCGCGGCUCAAGAGGAUUCGGUGGAGGUAGUGCCGCAAGAGAUGUGGCAGCACCAUCCAUUGAAGACCCUGGGCACUUCCCAACUCUUGGGGGCAAGUGAAGAAGUGAGAUUCCAUUAGAACCCCAUCUAUGAUAUCCAUGGGUUUUAUUGGAAUUUUAGGUACUUUUAAAUUUCGGGCUGGGAAUAAGAUAAAAUAAUCUGGUUUCCUGUCGCCAAAGUAUCUCUGAAUUUUAUGUUGUAAAAUGUAUGUUUCAGGGUUUCUUUCUCUUUUUGUUUUUUUGGGGUUAUUGCCCCCACUAUUGUUAUGCUGUGAUCUUACUGUUAUUGCUCACUGCUCAGUUUUCUUUUGGAAUAGAUGGAACUAGUUUGCUACUUGUUUUCGACCAUUUUAGUUGUGUUCCCCUGAAUCUAAAGAUGAAUAAUACUGAUGCAGGGGAAGUAAAGCCUAUGAUUCUCUAUUCCUACUUUUGCCAUGCUUGAGUUGUCUCCACUCUUUGGCUUCCAUGAGAUGAAUUCUGUUGCCUUUUAAUCGCGAUUGCAUUUCAACAUUUAAUUUUGAGAUAUUAGUACAUGGAUUAAAUUUUAAAUUUUCAAAUAAUAGAGAUACUUAUAUGGCAUAUUUUAACCGAAUCUGAAUGGAAUGGAGUUUAUAUGUAAAAUCUCAUUUUGGACAUUCAUUUAUUAUUAAAGUUAUAAAAAUGAUUUUAAAAAAAUUUUAAAAAAUAUGUAUUAGAAAAUAAAAAGAAAAAAUGUAUAUGAAAUGAUUAAAAGGAAAAUGACCAUAAGUUGAUGAGUAUUAGAGAGAUGAAUUUAGGCAUUCCCAUUGGAUAUUGAAUUGAUAAAGUUCUCUCUCUUUGUUCAAUUCAAUUUGUAUUUUCAUUUCUUGAAUUAGAUUUUUUGAGACUUUGGUCGUUCGACCGAUAUGCUUGAACCAUCUAAGUUUGGAAGUUAUUGAUGGCAUGUCCAAGUUGAAAAAUACUAGAUGAAAAUUUUUUUUUUCAAAGUUUUCCAUUUCAUGAAAAAUUUUAAAUUGUAUUGUUUUCUCUACUCGAAUAUUAGAUCUUUGUAUAUUUUAAAUUAAGAAAAAAAUCAAAAUAAAUGUUUUGUAAUCGUUUAAAAAAUUUUUGUUUAAAUGAAUUUAAUUAAAUAAUAUGAUAUCAAUUUAAAAUAUGAUUUUUAGUAGGAUAUAAGUCAACUUGAUUUCUUUUACCAUUUUCACGAAGAUGCAAUUAAUUUAAAAUGAGCAUAAUACGAAUGGUGUUAAAUAGUUUUCUUAUUCAGUGGGUUUUAGAGGUGCGUUAAGAAAUAUUUAAAAGAAAUGACUUUUUUUAAAUAAUUUUUCUUUUUUUUUUUUAACUUUUAGAUUUUGGAUCAAAUUGAUAGAAUAUAUAAAUAUUGAAAGGUUAAAUUUAUUAUUAGAUCAAUAAAACAUGCCAGCUUUUCGUCACUCAUCUAAUAGCCAAUAAUGAAAUAAUGACAAAAAUAUUUUAUUUCAGAAAGUUGAGUGACUAUGUCACGAGAUAGAUCUGGAAGAAGAAGAUAAUAAAAGCAAAGAAGAAAAAAAAGAGAGAUUCGAGAGAGAAAUGAAGAAAAAGAUACUGAAAAUUUGUUUUCAAAUUUCAUAACUGCUUUCCUCUUCCAAUUGGUACUAAAAGUAACAAAAUAAUGGACUUGGACAACUAGCAGACUAACAACUGCUCAAACCUCACCGUUUCAUUAAACGGUGUUCCUAUCAAAAUGAAUCAUUUAAGCAAGUUGUUAAUCCCCUUAGCCAAAACGCACUGUACAACUAAAACUAGAAAUAAAAAGCAACGUUUACAAUUAUAAGAAAUAACAAUGACAAUAAUAGAAAUAUGAAAUGACUGUUGAAGCUUUGUUCCAUAACAAAUACCCUCCCCCCCUAAACAAGAUCAUUAUCCUCAAGGAUCAAAAGUAGGGAACCUUUGCUAAAUCUCCUUCAAAUUUUCCCAAGUAGAAUCUUCAGGAAACGUGUCAGCCUACUCUACCAGAAUCUCUAUGAUAGCUUGAUUCCCUUCUUUGGUCAUUCAUCUAACACUCGAACUGGUUCUUUAAGGAGGGCACCAUCAAAUCCCAUUGGUGGCAACACUGAUGAACUCACUGCUGAACCAAUAUGUUUCUUCAGCUGGGAAACAUGAAAGGUAGAACAAAUACGAGUUGUUGGUAGCAGAAUCAACUUAUAAGCAACUUGUCUUCCCCUAACUUCCACUGGGAAAAGGCCAAAAUACCUAGGUGACAACUUCUGAUUUUUGAAUUUCCUUAGUAAGUGUUGCAUGUAUGGUUGCUGCUUUAAGUAAACUAGAUCUCUUACCUUAAAUUCCCUCUUAGACCUCCACUUAUUAGCCAUUUGCUUCAUCCUAUCUUGAGCUCGUUUCAGGUGAAACUUCAUAAUCUUCCUCAUGACUUCCCUAUGUUGCAAAGUUCUAUCUAUUGUAGCUGCCCGAGAAGCACCAGCUAAGUAGGGUAGGUGAAUGGAAGGAUCUUGACCAUAAAACGCUUCAUAAGGGGUGGUUUUAAUGGCUGAGUGGUAGGUGGUAUUGUACCGCCACUCUGCCAAAGGUAGCCAGGUCACCCAAUUAAAAGGCUUUUCACCAGUCAUACACCUUAGAUAGCUUUCUAAAAAUUUGCUAAGGAUCUCUGUCUGGCAAUUAGUUUGGGGAUGGUAGGCAGUAGACAUCUGGAGUUUGGUGCCUAAGUGCCUAAAGAGCUCUUGCCAAAAGUUACUAAUAAAAACCCUGUCCCUGUCAGACAUAAUUGACUUGGCAUACCAUGAAGUUUGUAGACUUGGGUUAGAUAUUCUUGUUCUACUGUCAAAGCAGUGAAGGGAUGAGCCAAGGCAAUGAAGUGGCCAUACUUGGUUAGCCUAUCCACCACUACUAGAAUUGUGGAUUUCCCCUUGGAAGUAGGCAAGCCCUCUACAAAAUCCAUACUUAUGGUUUGUCCAAGCUCGUUCUAGUAUGGGAAGUGGUUGCAACAGCCUUGGAGAAGCUGAAUUAUCAACUCUGCAUCUCUGACAUGUAACACACUUUCGAACUCAUCUUUUCACAUCCUUGGAAAGCCCUUUCCAGUACAAUAGGCCAGAUAUUCUAUGCCUAGUGGCAUGUAUGCCAGAAUGGCCUCCCAAUGAACUACAAUGGAAAAGAUCAAAUAUGUGCCUCCUGAGUUUGUCAUUGUGUCCCACCACAAAUUUUCCCAACCUUCUAAGUAACCUACCAUCCCAAGAAUACUUAAGGCGAAGCUGGGGUUGCUCUUGGAGUUCUUGGCACAACUGCUGCAGUUUGAUGUCUGUUCCAUAAAAAGUCACAAUUUGAUCCCAUAGCUCAGACCAAGAAGGGCUUAUACUCCCCACACACUAGAAAAAUUAGUGAUUCUGCUCAUAAAACUUUCUUAACAAGGCAUCUGCCACUAUAUUUUGGACUCCUUUUCUAUAAGAAAUAGAAUAAUCAUAACCCAACAUCUUAGCAACCCAUUGUUGUUAAUAGGGGGUAAUUUCUUCUUGCUCAGACAGAAACCUUAAGCUUUGGUGGUUUGUUUUAAUCUGGAAGUGUCUCCCAAUCAGGUAAGGAUUCCACUUUUUGACUGCUAAAAGCACUACUAGCAUUUCCUUGUCAUAUGUGGACAGAGCCUGAUGUUUGACUCCCAAGGAUUUGUUGAAAAAGGCUACUGGUUUUCCCUUGUCCACUCGCAUUUGUCUCCACACAAAAGAUCUCUUAGAAAUUAGGCAAAGCCAAGACUGGUGCUUGAUAGAUGGCUUCCUUAAGCUGUUCAAAGGUUGUCUGUGCAAGCUCAGUCCAUUUCCAUACAACAUCCUUCUUCAACAAAGUAGUGAGAGGCUUGGCCAACAAACCAUAUCCCUUGAUGAACCUUCUAUAAUAACUUGACAAGCUAAGGAAGCCACUCAGUUCCCUUACAGAUUGUGGAGUAGACCAACUGAGAACACUCUUCACUUUUACCUUAUCCAUGCUAACUACUCCCCUAGAAAUAAUGUGUCCUAGAUACUUAACUUGAGUUGCUCCAAAGGUACACUUAGUUCUUUUAGCAUAAAGCUGGUUGAACCUCAAAAAUUGUAACACUUCCUACAAAUAAGCCAAUUGGUCUAACCAGUUUUUGGAGUAAACAAGUAUAUCAUCAAAGAAUACUAGGACUGACCUCCCCAAUAGUUGUCUAAAGACUGAGUUCAUUAGUGAUUGAAAGCUGGAGGGAGCAUUGGUCAAGCCGAAGGGCAUGACCAAGAAUUCAUAAUGGCCUUCAUGUGUUUUAAAGGUUGUUUUGUGCAUAUCCCUCUCCCACAUUCUUAUCUGGUGAUAGCCUGAUCUCAAGUCCAACUUAGAAAAGAAAUUUGGCUGGCCUAGUUCAUCAAGAAGUUCUUCAAUGAAAGGUAUAAGGAACCUAUCCUUAAUGGUCGGUUGGUUGAGCUGUCUGUAGUCAAUGCACAGCCUCCAAUUGCCAUUUUUUUCUUCACCAUCACCAUAGAGGAAUCAAAAAGACUGUUGCUAUCACGAAUUAUGCCAGUUUGCAACAUUUCUUGUAUGAGUUUUUCAAUUUCUGUCUUCAGUACUGCAAGGUACCUCUAUGGCCUUAUUUUGACUGCCUUUGUUUCAUCUAUCAAUGGGAUCCUAUGAUCAUGUAACCGAUUAGGAGGUAGUCCUUUAAGAGUUUGGAAUACAUCCUCAAACUCAUUGAGUAAGGCUUGCAAGUCUUGGGCAACUGAACUGAGGGCAUAGUAAGUGUAGUCUGAUCACAUGAAGUCAACAACAUAGGAUAUGGACCAUUUUCUACCAUGCUCAAGCAUUUGGAUAGUUGGCUGCUAUGAACAAUUUGUAAGGAUCCUAGUAUAGUGCCUUGGAGAAUACAACAUUGUCCCAUGUAAUCAAAUUGCUUAAUCAAGCUUAAAAAAUUCCAAAUAACGAAACCAAGGGACAAGAUCCACUGAAUACCCAACACCAGGUCACACCCUUUAAUUGGAAAAAUCAGAAAAUCAGUUAUGAAGUUAUAACCUUGUGCUUUCCACUGGACAACUCUACACAAUCCCUGAGUUGACAAUUUAACUCCAUUAACCACCAUCAUCCUUAGUGUACUUGCCUUUUCCAUUGCCAAAUUCAACCUUUUAGCCACUUUGGAGUCCAUAAAAUUGUGUGUACUCCCUAAGUCAACCAGGACAAUCACCUCAGUUUGGUCAAUGAAAGUUGAAAAUCUCAUAGUGUUGUGCCCCUAUGAUCCCUGAAGAGCAUGUAAAUAUAGCAUUGGAGUAGGAGUUUCAGUUUUCUGGUCUGUUGUUUCCAAUUGUUCAGGACAAUAUUGAAAAUCCUCAUAUGUUGGACUUUUAGCAUCAGUGUCUUGAUCAACUUGUGGUUCAAUGAUGAGUUGAUACAACUGAGAUUUGGAACAUUUGUGCCCUGGUGUAUAUUUAGAACUACACUGGAAACAAAGGCUUUCCCUCAUUCUGUCCUCCAACUCAGCUUGAGAUAGAGAUUUAGAGGGAGUUCGCUGCCCCAAAUUACUCCCCAUGGACCCCUUAUUGUAAAUGAACCACCAAUACCAUGAUGUACCUUAGGAGAGGGAAACAAGGGUUUGAGAGGACUUGCCCUACCACUUACAAUUAACCCCUUCCUAAAGGGCCCCAACACAAUACUCUCAACCUGCCUAACCAAAUUAUAACCCUCAACCAAGGUUUAGGGCUUGAACAAUCGAAGGUACUGCUCAAUCUCAGGUUUUAAAUUACUGGUGAAGAUACUUAGUGCAUAUGCCUCAGGUAAACAGAGCUGGUUUAACAAACUUACAAAUCCAUCAUGGAAUUGAUCAACUGAUCCUUGUUGCUUAGAGACACAAGCUUAGCCAUAAGAUCAAGGAAAGAGUCAGAUCCAAAAUAUUCCCUCAAACCCUUAGCAUACAACUCCCAAGUCAACUGGUGCAGGCCUCCUUGCCUCUGCACAAAAAAUUGGUGCCAGUCUAAUGCCUUCCCUUCUAAAUGCAGCAUAACAACUCGAACCUUAGCAUGAUCUCCCACCCCUCAACUUCAAAAUACUGUUCUAACUUAGACCACCACCCUCUAAAAUUUCCCCCAUAAAAAUGAAGACAAUUCACUUGAAACGGAGUACUCACAAAAUCCAAGGUUCCCCCUCGAGAGGACACGCCAUUAUGCCCUAGAUCUGACAUAGGAGGCACCACUAGAUGCUCCUUUGCUGGAAAGCCAGAAGAAGAUCCCCUAAAAUCCCUUUCCCUUCGUUAGAAACCAGUCCAGUAACAGUAAUAUGAGUAGUUUGCCUAAAAUAUUGUUCGAAUAAAGAAUGGAGCUCAGAUCGUACCUCAAAACGAACCUCAGACUUGAUUCCUUCUUGGAAGUCCUUCAAACGCAUAUCAAUCCUCACAUCCAACUGUGUAAACUCAACUUGCAACUGAGCAAGCUCGUUUUGCAUUACCCCCAUUUCCUUCUACAAUCUAGUGGUAACGCCCUCGAUGGCCAUGAGAAUCAGCUGAGCUCUAACACCUUUGUCACGAGACAGAUAUGGAAGAAGAAUAUAAUAGAAGCAAAGAAGAAAAGAAAGAGAGAUUUGAGAGAGAAAUGAAGAAGAAGAUACUGAAAAUCUAUUUUGAAAUUUCAUAACUGCUUUCCUCUUCCAAUUGGUACUAAAAGUAACAAAAUAAUGGAGUUGGACACCUGACAGUAACAAUUACUCCGACCGCAUCGUUUCAUUAAACGGUGUUCCUAUCAAAAUGAAUUGUUUAAGCGUGAAUGUUAAUCCCCUUAGCCAAAACGCACCACACAACUAAAACUAGUAAUAAAACGUAGUGUUUACAGUUAAAAGAAAUAACGACAAUAACAAAAAUAUGAAAUGACCGUUGAAGCUUUGUUCCAUAACAGACUCAAUGAAAAAAACUCAGUAGUUGGAGAACUAAAAUAAAAGUAAAAGAAAUAUUACGGUGACUAUUUUGUAAUUUACCUUUUAUGAAACAAUACUAUAUGGAGAAGCUUGAUCUGAUCUAUGAUCCAAUAUUCAAAGGCCCAUUUCAGUUGAAUUACUGAUGACGUUUGAACUAUGUACAUGUUGCAUCUCUCUCUGACUCAGCUUUCACUAUUUCAGGCUCUCUCUCUCUUGCGUGUCGUUUUCCUUUCAACCUCUGCCUUCUUUUCCAUUAUUUUUCACCCUUGUUUUCAUCUUCUUUCCGCUGACUUCUCGGGUAAAUCGGUACUAGAUCUCUGUGGUCUAUUGCCGGAAUUUUCGUUCGGAUUCCGGCGACCCCAGUCUUCGAUCCUAUUUUCUCUUCAAUCCAGAAUGAAUCCCAAGUAGUAAGUUUUCUCUUUAUUCGUACUUAAUAUAUCUUUUUUAUUUGUAUGUUUAGAUUAAGCCUUUAUCUGUUUGUUUAUUUAUUUAUGUUUCUUCUUUUAUAAUUUGGUCACCUUAAAAAUACAUGAAUCUUAUGUUUAUCAAUCAUUGUCGGUGUUAAAAGUAAACCCUGGAUAUAAUGCGAUUUUGUUUUAGAUCUGUUGAAAGGAAUUGAUGUGUUAUUUCCUAUUAUGUUUCUGUUGCUAUUAUUGUCUUAUUUGCAGCUGGGAUUUCUUUAUUGAAUUUAAUUUUUAAAAAAGGUGGGAGCUUUGAUGUGUUCUUCAUUAUGCAUAUGUUGCCUCUAUGUUAUCCAGGUGCUGUCACAUAGAUUGAUUUAAGUGGAAAAUAGGCUCUUGAUAAUAUAAGGGAAGUUCAUAGAUUAAAUGAGAGUACGAUUCAAACCAUGCCCAUUGCCGUCCGAAACAAGGGAGCGCCUUAAAACUGGGCAUUCAAAGUACACAACAUAAUCAGCAGUAGAGUUCCUGAACUGGAAACUAAAAUAAAAAAGAAAAGCUAACAUCACUUGCCCUUUCUGGUAAGUGGACAAUUACGGGUGUUAUUUUUCAUAGAGUGGUGUAGGAAACAUUUACUCGGUCUAAUUUGACAAUGACUUGGGAUUAUAAGGGUUCAUCUUUGGGCAAUUAAUUUGGUGGUCCAACUUUUUGUUACUGACUAGUUUGUGGUUUCUGAAAAAUGUCUAUGUUUGGGAAUUGGGGUUUUGGCACAUUUGUAGAAACCAACUUUAUGCUAUGCAUGGUAUAAUUGAAGAUGUUCUGUUUUUGCAUCAUUGAAAAGUAUUUUAUUAUAAUCUGGUUGCACUCUUUCGCAGCGACUAUCUGUUCAAACUUUUGCUUAUUGGAGAUUCUGGUGUUGGAAAGUCUUGUCUCCUUUUGAGAUUUGCUGUAAGUUUCUAGACUCAAAUUGGCAUUUGAAAGUAAAUGUCUUUACUUUUAAGUUGCACAUUAAUAGAUGUUUAUAUGAUUACCUUCAAUCUUUACAUUCGUAUUUGAUGUUUAGAUUGCACUAGUAAUUGAUUAAAAAGUCUCAUUGCAUAUGUACCAUGCAUAUUGGGAGUAAAAUUUAUACCUUCAUGUGAUGACACGGUUUCAUGAUUUGACUGAGUACAUUUUGGCAUUAGAAUCUUGUUUUACUUUUAGUUGUAUAUCUGGAUAUUUUCAGAGGUUUAUGUGGGACUAAUUAUUGAACCUGAUCAAUUUAUGUAAUUUCUUUGAUGCAGGAUGAUUCAUACAUAGAUAGUUACGUAAGCACCAUUGGGGUUGAUUUUGUGAGUAAACCAGUCCUUGGUACUAAUUUCUGAAUGCCAAAUUUAUGGCAAUUAUUUUAAUUUCUUGUCUUCUGGUUUUCUUUUUGGGUAGAAAAUACGCACUGUGGAGCAGGAUGGGAAGACCAUUAAACUUCAAAUUGUAUGUUUUAGCAUGCUGUACUGCUAUUUCCUUUUUUCCUUUUUUUGUUUAACAUUUCUGUGUGUUUUCAGUUUAACUUUGCGUUUUACUAGUUAGUUUGCUCUUUGGUUAAAUGUACAGUGGGACACUGCUGGACAAGAAUGAUUUAGGACAAUCACUAGCAGCUACUACCGUGGGGCUCAUGGCAUAAUUGUGGGUGAUCUUUUCCUUUCUAGUUUUUCUCCUUUCAGUUCCAUUUUUGUGGCUUCCACUGCUUAUUUAUGCUUCUCAUAAACAUCUUUUCUUAUAUCUUUUUCUUUCCCAUUUACUGGUGGCUCCCUUAUUAGGUUGUUUAUGAUGUGACAGACCAAGAAAGCUUCAACAAUGUCAAGCAGUGGCUGAAUGAAAUUGAUCGUUAUGCUAGUGAUACUGUUAACAAACUACUGGUUGGAAACAAGUGCGAUCUUAUAGAAAACAAAGUCUUGUCAUACAAGGCUGCUAAGGUAUUAUGCUAGUUUCACGUGUUAAGCGUAAAUUAUUUUCUUUUGAGGAGAACCUCUGCAGCCAGAUUAUUUAUGGUAGUGGCACCAUGAUCUACAAAUUCUAAUUGUUGGUGUUUUGCUGCAUUUUCAUCCAUUCUUCCAUAUGGCUGCUUUUCUUCCUUCAGGCGUUUGCAGAUGAAGUCGGCAUACCUUUUAUGGAAACCAGCGCAAAAGAUUCCAUGAACGUGGAACAGGCUUUCAUGGCCAUGGCUGCUUCCAUCAAGGAUAGGUAUAUCCAUAUUCCUUUUCCUGAAUAGUAGUUUUAGUAGCAUCAAAACGCCGUUACCAUUCUAGAAGUAUGUACAGUUGAAUGGCGUGACUAGGCUGUUUGUGUUUAUCAUUACAGAACCUUCUAGAUGAACAAACUAAUUGUCACGAAAUUUACCACAAAGUCUUGAUGCCUAAUGAUUUCCAAUUACUUUGGUGCCUCUGAAUGCAGAAUGGCGAGCCAACCGGCCAUGAACAAUGCAAGGCCUCCGACCGUACAGAUCCAGGGACAGCCUGUUGCACAAAAGAGCGGCUGCUGCUCUUCUUAAAAAGAAAAAGAAAAAAAAGAGUCAAUUAUGUGUUUAGAUUUUACAUGUUUCUUAAGUCAUCAGUUGCAAACUUAUUUCUUAUGGAUCAAAUCUCAUUUAGAGGAUCUCAUUCAUUUCUACACAAAUGCUAAUGUGAAGGGUUGUACAACAUAUGAUGGUUGGUUAAAUUAUACAGUAUCUGUUGGCUAUACUUUACGUGUUAAUUUGGUCUUCGAUAGCAGAAAGUGUAACACCCCUUACCUGUAUCCAACACCGGAAUAAGGUACGAGGCAUUACCAAAACACAUACACUUGUAAACGUAUUUAACCGAGUUAUAAAAUUUCAUCUAAAUAAAAACUUUCAAAAUAAUUAACAUGUUUCUAUAACUUUUCACAAUAUAUCCUCAAAAUAUUAUAAUCAUAAUAAUUAGGGCCUACGAGACCCGGUACAUACUCAUACAAUUCAAUGCUUCAUUUCCAUUUCAUUUAAUUCGCAAUUUCUCAUGCUCACAAUUUAGAUCAUAUCACUAGCAAUUUCCAUUUAAUUCACGUACAAUUCAAUGUCACUAAGAUUAACACUAAUACGUAUUUACCAUUUAACUCAACGUUUAUCGAUUAUAUCAUUCAAUAACACAUUUAUGAAAUUCUUAAUUUUGCAAUGAAAAUAUCACUUUAGCUUAAAUAACAACAUCAUCCUGGUAUAAAUACACUACCACUUAUUCAUUUACUUUAAUUCAUUUGGGCCCAUUUGUCACUUACCAUCCUUAAUCAAAUUAGGGAACGGUUACGGAAAAUUGAGUACUUCAUUUUCACUUUGACAUAUGACCUCUUAUCACUUGUCCUUGAUCAGAUAAGUGUGGCUAGGCUACCACUUAUCACUUUGCCACUUGAUCAGAUAAGUGUAGCUGAAGCUACCACUUAUCACUUUAUCACUUGAUCAGAUAAGUGUAGCCACUUAUCACUUUGUCUCUUGAUCAGAUAAGUGUAACCACUUAUCACUUUGUUUCUUGAUCAGAUAAGUGUAGCCACUUAUCACUUUGUCACUUGAUCAGAUAAGUGUAGCUAAAACUACCACUUAUCACUUUGUCACUUGAUCAGAAGUACUCAAAUCCGGCGUUCCACUUAAUUUGAUCAUUUAUUCGAUUUUCACAUUUUUAUUUUAUUCUCAUUUCAACAAUAAAUACAUUUCAUCAUACAUUGUAUAAUUCAUGAAAUUAACAUUUAAUCAUUAAAUUUCAGCCAUAUGAACUUACUAUUUCAUUAUCUUCCACACUUGUUUCCUAUGCACAUUACACAAGAUAUAAACAUAUCAUUCAACCAUAGUUGCAAGCUAGUGUAUUGAAACAUAACUCUUUUUGGAACUAAUCACAUGAUAAACCAUUCAUGACAUUAUUUCAUACCAAAUCAUAUACCGAAUAUACCAUACACACAUGCUAUGAAACUUUAUUUUCACACAUGAGCUUAAACCAUGUCCAAUAAUGCACAAAUUUAAGCAUCAUUUCUAUUUCAUCAUCUAUCAAUUAUAAUCAAACAUAUGACCAAUUAUACACAAAUCAUUCAUAUAUUUCUCAAUUUUCCUCCUCCUCCUCUCCAUUCCACAUCCUUAAUGUGUAUAACACACUUAAACAACAUUAACCAUAAUUUCAAUAUUCACUAACAUGUAUAUUCAAAGCUGUUUAUCCGAGUCAGACUCACUAAAUUAUUUUUACCCAGAGCUACAGAGCUCCAAAUUAAGAUCCGUUAAUUUUCCCUGAAACUAGACUCACAUAUAUUCAUAGCAUAAAAUUUUCAGAAUUUUUGGUUGAGCCAAAUAAUACAGUUUAUUCUUUAAAGUUUCCCCUGUUUCGCUGUCUGACAGUUUCGACCACUCUUCACUAAAAAUUAAUUAUCUCAUUGUACAGAAUUCAGAUGAUGUUUUCGUUUGUUUCUUCUAAAAAUAGACUCAUUAAGGAUUAUAACCAUAUAAAUUAUAACUCAUAAUCAUUUUUUUAAAAUUUUUAAUGAUUUUCCAAAGUCAGAACAGGGGAACCCGAAUUCAUUCUGACCUUGUCUCACAAAAUCUAUUAUAUCUCAUGAUUUACAAUUCCAUUGCUCACAUCGUUUCUUUUAUAAAAAACUAGACUCAAUAAGCUUUAGUUUCAUAUUUUAUUCAUCCUCUAAUUCAAUCUCUACAAUUUUUGGUGAUUUUUCAAAGUUACACUACUGCUGCUGUCCAAAACUGCUUUAGUGCAAAAUGUUGAUUUCCAUUUUGCCCCAAAUUUCACAGUUUAUACAAUUCGGUCCUUUCUCAAUUAACCCCUCAAUUAAUCUAAUUUUCUCUAUUAUUACUUUACUAGGCAUUAUAAGUUGUUACACAACUAUUGAAAUUCAGAAUUUCCACAUAUAACUCUAUCUUCAAACUCUUUUACUAUUAGGUCCCAAACAUUCACUUUCUAUUCAAUUCUUUCAAUAAAAUCAGCAUAUGAACAAUUUAAAGCUCUAAUUUCAUGAUAAAUCAUCAUAUACUUCCAGCACAUAUUCAUAUCAACUUUCAACUUCUUUCAUAAAAUCAAAAACUAAUGAAUUUAACAAGUGGGCCUAGUUGUAAAAGUCAUAAAAAUACAAAAAUUUCAAGAAAUAGUCAAGAAUUGAACUUACUUGUAAUAAAAAUAUGAAGAACCAGCUUGAAGAAGCCCUUCCAUGGUGUUUUAGCUGAUGAGAAUUCAGAAAAAUGAAGAGAAAUCUAGAUAAUUCCACUUGGGUCCUAACUUUAUUAAGCAAAUUUUGCAAUUUUCCAAUUUUGCCCUAAUCUCCUUACUUUCUGCUGAUUCAUGCCCCUGCCGCCAGCCCAAUAGACCUUGGGUCUAUNNNNNNNNNNNNNNNNNNNNNNNNNNNNNNNNNNNNNNNNNNNNNNNNNNNNNNNNNNNNNNNNNNNNNNNNNNNNNNNNNNNNNNNNNNNNNNNNNNNNNNNNNNNNNNNNNNNNNNNNNNNNNNNNNNNNNNNNNNNNNNNNNNNNNNNNNNNNNUAUUUAUAAAAAUAUUUAUGGCUCAGUUUAAAAUCCCCGAGGUCUUGAUACCUCAUUUCGAUUCUAAUUAUUUUAAUAUUUAUUUCUAGUGCACUAUUCACUAUUUCAAAAAUUUUCCUAACUUCAUAUUUAACUUAUACUUACUAAAUUAAUAAUAUUUUCUACCCAUUUGUCGAAUUUAGUGAUCUCGAAUCACCGUUCCGACACCUCUGAAAAUUCAAGCCAUUACAUUUUUUUUUCGUCGGAUUUGUGGUCCCGAAACUACUGUUCCGACUAAGCCUAAAAUCGGGCUAUUACAGAAAGCACUGCGAUAAAUCUUGGUAACCAACUACCAAUUUUCCUGAAUAUGAAGCCCGCUUUAGGAUACCAUACAUGUUUCUUAUCCAUCAAACUUUUCAACUUAUUAGAAUAUUCUUUAUUUUUUAAUUUCACAAUUAAAAAAAUUAUGAUUUUUAAUUUAGAAUUGUUAGUUAAAAAAUAUUGUGAUUUAAUUUUAAAAUAAAGAUAUUAUUGUGAUAAUUAUAAUUAUAUUCUACAAUUAUUAGUUUAGAAAUUUUGAUAUAAACAAAAAUUGUGUUAAUUUUAUUGAUGUAAAAUAGGAUUAUUAUUUUAAUAGAAUUCUAAGCAUAUUAAUUAUCACUUAAUUAAUAUCAAAGUUAAUUAUGUUAAUUAGUUAUUAUUUUAAAUAAUGUUUCUUUGCAUGAAUUAAUGGAAAUUUUUUAGUUUAGGCUUUUAAAAUUUUUUAAAUUUUAAAUUAGUAAAGGUAAAAUUACACUUUGGCCCUCCUAAAAAUGAUAAAAAUUAGUUUAAUCCUUUAAAAAUUAUAAAGGUAUAGGUCAUUCAAGCAAUGAAAUUGUGUUUAUACUAUCAUAGAAAUUAAAUUUUAAUUUCGGUCUCCCCUAAAAGAAUUUUCUGACUUUGUCUCUGAUUGUAUUUUUCUUAUGAAAUAUUAUAUCAUUAAAAAAAACCGGUUAAGAAGGAAACGAGGAAAGAAACUAAACCCAAGCCAAUAGGCUUACCCAGAACACCUAGUUCUAACUCUUCUCAUUAUCACCAUUACAAUCUAAAACUAAAAUAUUUGCAAUAGGAGGACAAAAAACAAAUUCGGAUUAGUUCGCUCGUGAUAAAACCGCCCUCGCUAGAGAAUGAACAACUUUAUUAGCAUUUCUACUAGUCCAAUAGAAGGACAAAGAAUUAAACUAAGAACUAAGAUUGAAUCCGUAUUUAAUCAACAACCUCAAAUUCAAAAAUUAAAAAAUGCCAUGAGAAAGGGUAGCUCAAAGUCGACAGUUAUCAGUUUCCAGUAUGAUAUCCUCCUCAAGCCAAGAUCGAAGCACUUGCAUGUUUUUGUAUGUUGAAUAUGUUAAACUUUAAUUAUUAUUUGAAAUUUUUGUAUUAUAAUAUUUGAAUUGACAAGUUAAUAUAUUUUAAUUAGAUUCAAUAAUUUAAAUAAGUAUUAUUUUAUGUUGAUUACUACAAUUAUAAAUAUAACAUUUAAAAGACUAAUUAAAUAUUAAAUACGUAAAAUCAUAUGCAAUACAUGUGAUAUUAGAAGUUAAUAGUUGAAAAGUUAUUUCAUAUGCCACCUAGGAUUAUACCUUAAAAUGACAUAUCAAAUAUUAUACGACAAAAUUUAAGAAAAGUUAAAAGUAAAAAAAGAAAAGAAAAAAAAAACGAGGGUGUUUCUGCUCCAAAAACCAAUGAUUUAAAACAAUGGCAAUGCAAAAUCAAAAGGAUGCCAAAUUCUCGUUGUCGUGCAAAAGGUUCAUUAAAGACUGAAGGGAUUCAAACAUAAGUAAAAGGUUUUACAAGUUCAAUAGUUAUGGGUAUGAAUUGUUUUUGGCUUUGCUUUUCUUUUUUUGUAAUGAUUUAGAUUGUUUUGUUGUUUCUUUUGAUCAUUGGGUUAUUAUAUUGAUGAUUUUGGGUUUUAGGGUUUUAUUAAUUGUGUGAGAUAUAAUAUAUUUUGAUUGAAUAUAUAUAAUAUAUAAUAUAUAAUUCUCAAUGAUUUUCUGUUGCAUUUUACUUUUAACCUUUUGAGAUUUGUUUUUUUUUUCAAUCUUAAGUUAUGUCAAGCAUGUCUGAAAUUAACUAUCUUAUUAAUGGUAAGACCUGAUUGAUAUAAUUUAAAAUUUAAGGACCAAUAUAAAACUAGAGUCAUAAUUUGAUGACAUUUGGUGCAAUUUACUGUAAUUAGUAAAAUAAAUAAAUAACUUCUUUGGAAGAAAAAGUUUACCCUAGUAAUUUUGUUUUGGGACAUGGUAAGAGGAUAAUGAAAAUGUCAUUAAUAAUUGUUAUUUUAGUACCUUCUAAACAUGAAUAGUUCAAUUUAAUCCUUUUUGUCUUGUUUUAAAUAAAAAAUUGUAAUUUUGACCCCUUCAAAAUUAAAAUGCCCAAUUUAAUCCUUGAGUAUGCUAUAAAUCUAGUUAUUCUGUUUUAAAUCUAUUUCUAAAAGAAUAAAUAGAAUUUUCAUGUCAAAUUUGCAAUUGAAGAAAGAUGUUAUAACCGUAGAUAUAGCAUUUUCCAUUAUAUUAAGGUUUAAAACGAAAAAAGGAUGUCGUUUGCUAUUGCGGAUUAUGAACAGUCGGAGCAAACAAGUACGAUAAAUGACGAUGAAGACUAAGGUCGUGACUGCAAAGAUUACAGGGACUGUGAAGGAUGAAGAGCCGUUUGAUUGUGUACAAAAUAGAUAAGAUGUUGUUGCCUAGGGAGGGAGUUGUUCAAGCCAAUGGAAGCAGCCGAGGCACCACAGCCAUCCAAAUCCAACCACAAGACAGCAGCAACAGCACCCGCAGAAAGUGAUGCUAAAUACUUGCACAUAAUAACCAAUCCAAGCACUGAAGCACAUAAAGCAACUCCAAGAUUACUUACUAGACAAAGCCACACAUUAUCUUUGUAAUCCUAAUACUGAAUCACUAUUAACCCCUGCUCAGUUUUCAGUUUCUUUGCUAUGCUACGGAUGGCGUAAAAAUGAAAAUGUCAUCAAGCCUAUCAUUGCUAGGGGAGUUGCCACCGUAAACUAGAAGCCCAAGUUGGCCAUCCCUUACGCCGCUGGAAAAAGCACACCAUCCACGAGGCCCGGGAUGAGUUUCUAAACCCCGCUCAUCCUCCCACUUCUUCCACACCAAUGUGUCUGCGUCCAAACUGUAUACCUCUCCAGAAAAUUUCCCAGCACCAAGGUGACCUAAAUCACUAGGAUCCACUUCCCCGCCGUAUAUGAUUAUGCAUUUGCCAAUCCCAACUGUAGAAAAUACACUUCGGGCCGUUGGUUUCUCCCCACUUGUCUCGACUUGGGACCAUUGUCCUUGUACUGGAUCAAAGCAAUGCACAUCAUCCAUUUCCACUCCAGAGAAGCCAUAAACCACCCAUAUUUUCCCUUGGACGACAGCCAGUCCGGGGCCACCUCUUCCCUUGCAACUGUCUCCCGGGGUUGGAUAUUUGAUCCAUUUUUGGCAAGCAACAUCGUAAGCCCAUAGAUCGUUAAGCCGGCCAGAAACACCACAGCCUCCAAAGACAUAAACAUGUCGGUCAUCAGCUGUCAUGGAGUGGUAGCUCCGAUGAGCCGGGCCACUGUCACCGUUAGAAAGUAAGACCCACUUGUUCGUACAAGUAUCAAAAGAAUAUAACUCAUCAAGCUCCUUGUGUGCAGAAUCCCUACCACCAAAUACAUAGAUGGUUUCACUAACAGUGGCCAUUGUGACACCAACACGUGGAGGCGGCACAUCACCAGUUACAUCGGCAACAGACCAUGUUAAGUUAUUGAGAUCAAAUACAUAGAGCUUGUUGUCAACCGGGACUCUUGGGGUGAACUCACCUCCAAAGACAUACGCCUUUUGUCCCACAAUGGUUAUGGCGUGUGAGCUUCUGGCUCCAGGACCAGUUCCAUUCUGGUUAAGCUGAUGCAGAUUUAUAAAUCCAUGGCGUAAAACUAGAGGUUAAAAUCUCAUAGCCUACCACUUUUAAAAUAAUAGAGUUGAAAAAAAAAAGGAAAAAUGAAGAUGAAUCUUAGCCUACAAGACUAUAAUCGACAAAAUAUAACGGCAAAAAGAAAGGCACCCAACUUUAAAAUAAUGGAAAAGAAUCAAGAGAUCUCUUCAUAGUGUAGAUCUUAUCCUGUAGAUAGGCCUAAUUUUCUUAAUUCAUUCAGCUGCUCUUGGCUAAAUUGUUUCAAGGGAUGAUUAGUUUUCCAGGCAGAAAAUUAUGGUAAUAAUCACUAAACCUCUUUCAUGUAUUUGCAAUUACCUCAAAAAAAAAAAUCACUCCACAAAGGCAGCCGAGAUUUCCAAGAAACCAAACUCAAAUAUUGGGUUGGAAACCCAGGUAUAAUAAGUUCAAAAAGAAAACAAACAAAAAACAUGUACUCAAACUUAGGAUUUAGGAAGUGUUAGUUUACCAUUAAAUCCAGCAAAAAUUUACAUAAAUUUAACUGAGGAUAUGAUGAAAGAGAGAAAUUCAACAGCAAAAAUAAGCCCAGAAUUUUGGUUGUUUUAACUUCUGUAGACAUGAAUUAAAGAGGAACAGAGAACAAACCUUGACCCAUUUCCCUUUAACCUCAGCCAUCAAUAGAAAAAGUGAAGGAUUUAUACUUGGUAUUCAAAGAAAAUGUCACUGUUGGACCUGGAGAUUGGAGUUUUCUGGGCUAUCACAGAAUCACAUCCAGGUAUUUAUAUCCGUGAUGCAUUCAAUUUAAGAUAUUUUAAAAAUAAGAUGUCAAAUUGAAUUAUUAUAAGAAAUAGAUCUUUAUUUAAUCAAAAAUUGGAAUUUAAAAAAAAUGAAUUUCUAAUAGAAAAAAUUUCAAUUAAAAAGUGGUUUUAAACAUUAAAAAUAUUUAAAUUCAAUCUUAAAUUAAAAUAAACAUUAUAUAUUAAUUUAGAGAACUAAAUUGACUUAAAAUUUAUGUAUGUAACAUCAGUUUUUACUUAAAAAAAAAGAGUUGUGACCUUACCCAGUAGCUUUCAUUUAAAAUUAAUUUAUUAGUACUUGAAUUAAGAAAAUAAUGUGAAAUGAAAUAUUUAAAUUCAGAUACUCUUGAAAGACAACUUCCAUGCUGCUUGCUGACCAUUGAUUUAAAUUUUUUAAUUCACUAUAUAGUUGGGUUAGGUGUGCCAUAUCCUCCCAAUUUUUAUAUUUAAAAUAUCCAUUAAAAAUACCUUAUUUCACUAUCAUACUAUUCAUUUCAGUGUAUAUAAACAUACUAAGAAAAUGACAUUCUUAUUUAUGAGUUGGAGAAAGAUUACGAAUAAUUUUAAUCAUUUUGUAAAUACAAAAAUUAUAAUAAAAUUAUUAAAAAUUACUUACGGGGUAGCUCUAAUUUUUAUUUAUAAUAUUAAAGCAUUUGUUUUGAUUAUUUAUAUUUGAAAUAAAAAUCAAAGUCAAGUACUAGAAAAUGCCCUUGGGGAAAAUUUUAAUAUUAAGGUAUGGUAGAUGCUUUGGGAAAUAAAUAUUUUGUAAUUAUUCAAAUCUGGCCAAUAAUAUUUUUUUUAAAAUGUUAAAAUUUUAUUUAUUUAUUUAAAAAACUAACUUUGAAUCAAUAAUAAAUUUUAAAGCAAACAUAACAUUGUUAGAAAUCUUUAAAUACAAAUUUUCAAUUGUAUUGUAAUUAUGUUUAACCUAUUUAAAAAACUUUUCUAAAUAACAAGUUUUAAUUUGUUUGUAAACAUUUUUAUAAAUUACUUUAUAUAUUAUUAGAUUUUGUGAGGUGAAAGAAAAAUAUAAUAUUAACAGAAUCAAUAAUUGAGUUAUAGGUGAAAUAAUUAGAGUUGUUUGUGGGUCGGACCAGGUCGGGUCAAGUAAAAAUUUUACGCCCGUUUUCUAGUCUUGGACUCGAAAAAUGUUAAAUUUUUGCCUAAGCUCGACCUGGAUAAAAAUGCUAAAACCUAAGCUUGGUCCAGCCUGCUCGUAUUAAAUUUUUUUAUAUAGAAAGAAAUUUAAAAAAUAUAAUACAUCAAAUACACCAAAAAUAUUAAAAUAAAUGUUUCCCAACAAACGUAAAUAUAUAUACUUAAAUAACACUAAGAUAAGUGCAACUUAGCAAGCAAAUACAUCUGCAUUAGUAGCAAAAUUAAUAAUAAAAUAAGAGUUAUACAAUAUUUAAAUAAUAACAAUAAAAUGGUAAUAAUAUAAUAACGAAAUAAUAGCAAAACAAUGAAAAAGCAGUGGCAAAAUAGGAAAAAAAUAGCAUCGAUUUUUUUUGCAAAUUCGAUUCGGGCUAAGCCCAAGCAAAAAAAAGCUUACACAAGGCCUGGCAUGUUUAGAAAACGGGUCAUAUUUUUGUCCAAACUAUAUUUUUACCCAAACUCUCCCACUUUUCGAACUGGUCUUCGGGUCAGGCCAAGUCUAGAAAUGAUUAACUACUUUUGAUUAAAUAGUCGAUUGAGUCUUAGCUCGAUUGGUAUGGAUAUUUUUGUUAAUGUAAGAGGAAGUGAGCUCGAGUGUGCUGAAACGCAUUAUCCUCCUAUUUAUAGGUUGGGUGGGGCUAUGGGUAGUUUUAGGUAUUGUGUAAAAAAACAUAUAUGAUCAUAAUUUAUAAUGAGUUUGUUCAAAAAAAUCACGUAAUAAAAUUUAGAACUUUCAAUAAGGGGAUCAACAAGUACACUUGGACAAAUUUUUAAUAUGUUAUUUUAGUUCUACAACUUUUUCACUUUAAUCCUUAGUAUUUUUUUUUACUCUUAUCAUUACUGAGAAAAUGAUAUUUUUGAGUGACCAAAAUGAUAACGACCCAUAAGUUGGAUUACUAAAAUGAAAGUGUAAAUAUGAUAUGCCGUGUACAAUAAACUACCAUUAGGGAUUUAACUUAGCGCUUUAAAAGUUAGUGACAAAAUGGCGAAAAUUUUAUUUUGAAUGACCCAAAUAAAAACGCUUUAAAAAUUGAGUCACUACCUGAAUAAUUUACCCUAGAAAUUUUAGUAUCUGUUCAAAAUUUUUGCCCUUACAAAUUUUUGUAAUAGAAAUUUUGGCAUUCAUCAUUUGCAUUGUCAUUAAAAAUUAUUUUAAAUUAUACAAAUAUUUAAAAAUGAAAAAACUUGCAAAAACUAUAAAAGCUAUUUAAAAAUUUUAAAUUUUAUUUAAAAAUUUAUAAAAAUAUAAACUUGUAAAAUUCUUAAAAAUUGUAAAUAAUCGUUAAAAAAAUUAAAAAUGUAAAAAUUGUAAUAUACUUGAAAAAACUUCUAAAAAUUAUAAUAAUUUUUUAAAAACAUUUUUUUUACAAAUUUUAAUAAUUUUACAACUUUUUUAAUAUUUUAAUAAAUUUUAAAAAUUUUGCAAUUUCAUAUAUAUAUAUAUAUAUAUUAUUUUUUAGGUAAACUAUUAAAAUAGCCAAUUUUGUUUACCUCAUGUUAUAUUUUAGUCAUUUAUGUUUAAAAUUUAAUCAUUUAUGUUAUUGCGUUAUAACAUUUUAUUCACUGAGCCGUUAAUUGACGUUAAUGGUGUAACGGUAAGCUAAUGUGGCACGUUAAAUCAUCAUUUCAAACAAAAGUUUUAGGUUAAUUUAUACAAUCGCUCCCCAUAUUAUUUUGUUUUGAGUAAUUUAAUUUUUUUUUCUUUUAUAUUCUUUUAACUUUCUUUUUUUUAUUUAUUUUUCAUUCUCUUCUGCUUCUCUUGUUGUUUUCCUCCCUUCUUCAUUUCUUUUAAUGUAUUUUUUUCUAUAUUUUCUAUUUGUUAAAACUAGUCUCUAUGCUUUUAUUUUUUUGAACAAUUUAAUUUUUUUGAGUGAGGUGAGCUUGUGGACUAGUUUUAACAUAGAAAAACUAUGUUAAAAGAAAUGAAGAAAAGAGGUUAAUAGAGGGAGAAACAGAAGACAAUGGAAAAUAAAGAAUAAAAAAGUUAAAAGAACAUAAAAGAAAAAAAAUGUUCAAAAUGAAAAAACACAGGGACCAAUUAUAUAAUUUAACUUAAAUUUUUUGUUUGAAAUUAUGAUUUAACGUGCCACAUCAACUUUUCGUUACAUCGUUAACAAUAAUUAACGGCUCAAUGACUAAAAUGUUACAACACGAUAAUGUAAGUGCCUAAAAUGUAACAUUUCAAACAUAAGUGAUUAAAAUGUAACCUGAGUCAAACGGAAAGGACUAUUUUGAUAGUUUAUCCUAUUUCUUUUAGCGUACGGACCAAAGUAUCGUAGCUUGUGGAGUAGGAUAUUCUCUUGCAAGAAAGCGGCAGAACUAGGGUUUCGGCCGCGUAAUACAGUUGUAUAUAAACUCCUUAAACUCUCACUCUCGCAUAAGCAUUAAGCACCGAGGCACACACUAGGAGGCGACGAACUCUGAGGCGGAAAAGUUACACAAAGAUGGAGCAAACAUUCAUCAUGAUCAAGCCUGAUGGCGUCCAGAGGGGUUUGGUAAUGUUUCUUCUUCUUUCUCUCUUCCAAUUUUCGGUUUUUUUUUUCAGCUGUAUUAUUCUUUUAUCCGAUAGUUUGAUUCUCUUAACUGCUAGAAAUUACAAAUAAAAAACGAUAAAGAAUCUGUAGUCCUUAGUGAACUCUUGUAGUUAAGCUCGUAGAUCUAAUGUCUUGAGGCAGGGAAUAUUGGUUCAACUUAGCUAGGCUUCACAGAAUGAGUACUGUUGUUUCUGUUUCUUUUUGAAAUCUAUUCUUUUGCAUGCUAAGGCUAUAAAAUCAAAGACUUCGAGAGAUGAAUUCUUAAAAAAAAAGUAUUUAUUUGGGACAUAUGAAAGGUUCUAACGUUUUUCUGAUUUAGCACCUUAUUUUGUUGGAUUGUGGGUUAGAAAUGAGAAACUUGUGUUUCUUAUGGAGAUUGUUAUGUCUUUCAGGUUGGUGAAAUCAUUGGCAGAUUUGAGAAGAAAGGUUUCUAUUUGAAGGGUAAAUCCAUCGCUUUUCUAAUAACUUUCUCUGAUUUCUGUUAGUGUUUAUGUUAGAGAUGAUUGAAUGUUCACCAUACUUUUUGUGAUACUUGAAUUGAACAGACAAAAGUGGAUGUUCUUUUCUAUUUCUGUUGACAUUAUCGGCACUAUGUUACUUAUUUCACCUUGGAUGUGCCUAAUCUAGGUUUGAAACUCAUCACCGUGGAUCAAUCUUUUGCUGAGAAGCACUAUGCAGACCUCUCUGCAAAACCCUUCUUUAAUGGGCUCGUAGAGUACAUUAUCUCUGGUCCUGUUGUUGCUAUGAUUUGGGAGGGUAAGAAUGUUGUUACCACUGGUCGCAAGAUUAUUGGAGCCACAAACCCUGCUGAGUCUGCUCCUGGAACAAUCCGUGGUGACUUUGCAAUUGACAUUGGCAGGUAUAGAUAGUCCUCCUCUCUUUUACUUUCGAUGAUUGAAUACCUGUUUCAUUGAGUUUAGGCAUAUCUCUUAGCAUUUUGUUAUAUGCCCUUGAGCUGAAACUAGUUCAUAUCAGUAGUGUUGAAUUUGGUUGUUUUAUUUUUGCAGGAAUGUGAUUCACGGAAGUGAUUCAGUUGAGAGUGCUAGGAAGGAAAUCGCAUUGUGGUUCCCAGAAAGCCCUGUUAACUGGCAGAGCAGUGUUCACCCCUGGAUCUAUGAGUAGAUUUCAAAUUAAGCUGUUUCAGAUCAUGGCAUCCUUGUGUUUGCUUCUUGUUAGUGAACUUUUUUAUGAACUUUUUACUGAAUUACCUCUAGUUACUAUUUAAGAUGUUUGUUUGAUGCCAUUAUUUUUGUUCACUAAAUUAAUCAAGUUCUGAAACUCCAGCAACUGGGUAUUUUGGUUUGUAUGAAUAGAAUUUCGGUUGGAUUUGCCUAAUCUAGGUUUGAAACUCAUCAUUUCUCAUUCCACAUUGCAAAAUAGGCAUAAUAACUAGUCAAAGCACAUUGGUAGAGGAGGAAGUGUCAAAGUUUCCGCUAUUUUCAAUUAGUUUUAACAAUUUGUGGUUUAUAUAAAAUUUAUAUUAAAUAUAAUAUGAAGUGUUGAGGAAUGGGAAAUCUUUGAUUCUUUUAAGCCUACUAAGGGCAUUCGCUAGGGUGAUCUUUUUAUCACCUUAUUUAUUUGUCUUGAGGAUGAAUCACCUUGGACAUUUAACCAGCAGUCUAGUGGAAUGGUAUCCUAUCAAAUUAUCUCGUCACGGGCCAAAGAUUUCUCAUCUUUACGUAGCGGACAGCCUUGUUCUCUUUGGCAAGGUUGACUUCUGUCAAGCAGAAAUUAUUAGCGAUAUUCUCCACAGAUUUUGCUUUUUCUCAAUCUAUAAGGCGAGUAGAUAAAAUGAAGACUUACUUUUCUAGAAAUGCUGGUGGUGCAAACUAUUAGUGCUCGUUUGUGGUUUUCAUCGGUGGAAGAUCUUGGGUGCUAACUGGGGAGACCUCUGUUUCAUAAGUAAGACAAGAUGAGUACCUUCAAGUGUACUUUGCAAGACAAGAUGAGUACCUUCAAGUGUACUUUGCAACCAGUUGUCCGUUUGGAAUGCUAGAAUGUUAUCUAUGGCGGGAAGAGUGAGUCUUGCAAAGUUGAUAGUUAUGAUGAUCCUAAAUUACUUUAUGAGUAUGACUCACAUUCUAGUGAUGGUCAUUGGUGUGUGACGAGUUAGAGAAACUUGUUCGAAUUUUUAUAUGCGGGUCGAUUGUUGAGAGUCGAAAGCCUUCUCUAGUGAAUUGAAAAAAAUAUUAUAUGCCUUUAUAUAAUGCUGGGGCUUAGUAUGAAAAGUUUGCGCAUCUCUAGCGAAGUUUCUUUGAAGAAGAUUGGGUUCAACUUUGUUCGUUAAUUCAGAUGCUUUUUGGGUGCAAGUUCCUCGAAGCAAAUAUAAUAUUUAAGGAGUUUUGGCGCAAUCUAUCUUUCGUAGCUCUUGCUCUCAUACUUGGAGAUGCUUAUCAAACAUAUGGAGUGAGAUCCUUGAGGGAGUGUGUUGGUCUAUUGGUAAUGGAAGAAUGAUUAGUUUCUGGGAUGAUUGCUGGGUGAAAGAAGACCGUUUAGUAUUGAUAAUGGAACUAUUCAGGAAGAUUGAAUGUGGGGGGAUUGAAGGGUCCUAGUGGCGAUUUGGAUUGGAUGGCAUUGGAGAAAAUGGUGUCACCGCAUAUUGUUUCGUUUAUUGCUGGGAUGUCUCCUCCAUCUGAUCUCGCAGGAGAUGAUAUGUUAACAUGGAACUGGAGUAACAAUGGGUUGUUCUCCAUUGUUGAUACUUAUACAGCUGUUGCUGGGGCUGGAUGGGACGUAGUGAAUGAUGAUUAGAAGUUGGUUUGGAAAUGUAAGGCACCCCAACGUGUACGACAAAUUUUCUAGCUUCUUUUCAAGGGGCGUCUGCUAACGAAUGAGGAGAGAGUUAAGCGAUAUAUGGCAAUUGAUAGUAGCUGAGAUAUGGAGAGUGUGUCGAGACAGCCGUCUAUGUUUUGAGAGACUAUUCUUUUGCUCAAAAUACUUGGAGAAGAAUUAUCCCUAACACUACUAGUAACUAUUUAUUUGAUUUGAAUACUAGGAUGUGGCCUGUAUGCAAUUUAAAGAACACUGGACAAUUUAGCAUUGAUGGAACCAACUGGUGCACAUUGUUUCUUACUAUCUGGUGGUUCCUUUGGAAGGUUCGUGAUGCUUUUUGUCUUUCAAGAUGCGAGUAUUAGCUAUAGAGAUGUGAUCAUGUUGAGUAUGUCUUGGGCUAGAUGCUUCAGACAUUUGAGUACUAUUAAUAGUCGGGGUGCAAUGGGUUCGGGUGUAGUUAACCAAUGGAGGAGCCCGAAAGAAGGAUGGAUUUAAUGGGGCCACGGAUUUGGACUCUGGUAUCUCAACCAUUGGAGGAGUGCUGAGGGAUGCGAACUCCAACUGGAUAAUGGGGUAGGCCAAGAGACUUGGUGAGUCAGUGUUUCACACGGAAGCAAGGGCUCUUUUAGAAUGGCUUCGUUUGGCUUGGGAGAAGGGUUUUAGAGGAUUGAAGUUUAAAGCGAUAACGCAUUGUUGAGCGAAGCUGCUUGCAACGAGCAUGCGACUAGCAAUGGAGUGGCAGAGAUAAGGCAUAUUCAGGAGUUAAAAUCACGUCCAUGACAGUUGGUUUUUUAUCAUGCAAGUGACAACAGAAUCGGGUUGCUGACUCUAUGGCGAAAGUUGGGAGAUCAUUGGGAAUGAAUUUGGUUUUGUUAGAUAGGCCACCACUACUGGCUGCUAGUGUGGUUCAGCUGGAGAAAGAACAAGAUAAUGAAGGUUUUGCCGCGAGGGUUGCAGCUCAUAUAGUCUAGGUUCUGUGAGCCUCUUUCUUUUUGACCAAAAAAGAAGUCAUUAGUCACAUUGACUUUAUAUAAAAAAAGAAAGAAAUUCAAUGGACGGAAUGCAUUGUUGAUAAUCCAACUAAGUGUGUUUUUAUAUGUAUGUAGUUGAGAAAAAAAUAUUAUUCUUAGAAGAUUUUUUGAGAACAACUUAUCUUUAUCAUUUCCGAUUUUGGGAUCAAACAAAUAUUUUAUAUACAACAGUUGUAACAAUAGCUGUUGGGGCAAGGUGUUCAUACUACUAGUAGUUUCCAUGCAUGCUUGACGUUGCAAAGCUGACAGCCAAAUACAGGGUUGCGGUUCCUUAACUAUGGUUUCGGCAGAAUGUCCUAUGGCAGUCGGUGGAUUGGUGGUUAUGAAUUAUCGUUUGUCUAAUGGGGCCAUGCCGGGUUUCCUUUAUCAGUAUUAUUAAAAUUGGAUUGGAUCUACUCAUUAAAUCGAAAAUCGAUUUAAAAUAUACCAUCCCGUUAAGAGCUUGUUAAAGAAAAAAGCAAAUUAUGUGAUGACAUGAAAUGCACUUGGUUACAACCAUCGCCCUCAGGUGUUGCCAACAAAUUGACUAUAAAUCAUUUCAAAAUAAACUAGAGCCUAUUUGAUUGGAUUGCAAGAAACAUUAGCCCUACAAAAUGAAGUAAAGAAUGGGGAACUUUUGAUGAAGCCCCGCCCCCACGGGCAGGGGAAGAAAUCAUUAGAAGAAAAUUUAGUCAUCAGCUGCGUGCAAAGCGGCAGCACACGCAUGGUGCUAACCAAAUCUAUAUAUAAAAUGAUAGUAGGUGAGUAGAGAGGUGGGUUCCAUCUGGUAAAAGGGAGGUGAUAUUUACAAAUAGAUUUUGCUUUUGGGGUUUCAAAGGUUUAGAUAGCAGCAGCAUGUUUGAUUGGUCUUUCGUAACAAAUAAACUUUGUUUCCCUUCAUUUUGCCCCUCACCUUUUUUCUUGGGGGUCUGUCUCUUCACUUUUCAAUAACUUUUCAUUGGAAUGUGUGUGGGUCUUUGUUUUAACUUUCUCACCUUAAUCUACUUCUUACAAAGAUCAAUUAUAUUGUUAUGAUGAUGAAAGUAUAAACUAUGCAAUUCUUAGAAUAUAUUUUUCUUCAAGCUCUCCUUUGCAAAAUCUAUACACCUGGGCUGGUCCUGGGUAAUUCCAUUUAAGUUUUAUCACUUUCCAAUUUUAGUUAAAUCAUUUUAGGGUUCUAUCGCAUAAUCGAAUUGUAGUGUUUCUUUUCUUCUUCUUUUUUUUUUUAAAAUUUUAUGAACUCCUAACGAUUAUAUUUUUUUUGUCAUUUUACUUUUUUUAGUACAUGUGUACUUCAUGUUAAUUUUUUUUAAUUUUUAUGAAUUUUUUAAAUUUUAAAUUUGAUUUAUGAUAUUUGAAUUAUUUGUUGAUGUAUAUAAAAUAAAUGAUAUUAUGUUAGCAUGAAUUGCACAUGAACUGUCAUGUAAGUUGUCAAGCCAACAACAUUAAAAAUUAAUAUUUUAAUAAUUAUUUUUGUUAAAAAAAUGAUUUGAUUCUAUUUUGAAAUAUUAAGGGCUAAAUUUAACUAAAAGAAAGUCAAGUUGAAAGAAAAUAUAAACAUUAUCAGGUGAUACCAGUAAUAGGUAUUGGUAUUUAUCCGGAUUUCGUCCUCUCUUUAUCAAGUGAGAAGGUCGAAACUAUUCUAUAUAAUUAUUUUUAUAGAUAGUUUUCAUGAAUAAAAAAAAUCAAAAAGAAAUCCUAUGGUUUUUUACAAUGAAAAAGAAAAAAAGAAAAGUUUUUUUUCUUCUUUAAGUUUAAGUUUAGUAAAAAAGAUAAAAACAUUAAGUUGAAUUUUAAUCAGACAUCUUUGGCUUUUGUUAGAACCUUUUGAAUCAAGUAGUGGAGCGAUUCAAAAGGUUCUUGAUAGCUUACAAUAAGUUUUCUUAUACUUAUACAUAAUAUAUAUGCCAUCCUGUGUUAGUAUUUGUUAGGCGUAGCCUUUUUAUUCAAUUCAAUUAGAUGUUAAUUUAAUGUAAAUGAACCAUAACUAUGUAAAGCUAUUCAUUAUAGAUUGACCUCAAAAUAGCAUAUUCGAAUUAUAAGUAAUCCCAUAGAAGCCACAAGUACAGAAUUUACACCUUCCAAAUUUGUAUUUGUUUGGGUAUGGAAAUAAAUCGCGAAUACGGUCCAAGUAAUAAAUGCCCAAGUUUCCUUUGGGUCCCAAUUCCAAUAUAAUCCCCACACCUCAUUAGCCCAUACGGUUUCUGAGCAUUUUUUAUAUGUUUUAUAUUUAUUAUAAUCAAAAGAUAAUAAAAUCUUUUUUGGUUAAUUCGGUUAACCGAUCGAUUUAACUGAAAUAUUUCGGUUCAGUUAAUGUAUUUGAAAAAACUUUGGUUCGGUUAACGGUUAAAGAAUUUUACAUUUCGGGUAAUUCAGUUUGAGUAUUAAUUAAACCGACCGUUUGAACACCCCUAACUGGCAGACAAAGUUGAUACCAACCGAGUUUUAUACUUAUAUAUAUCCAAUAGAUCCAAACAAGAUAUACAAAUUUCUAAUAGAUCAGAUAAAAUCGCAAAGCAAAGAAUCCCAAGAUUCAAUUAUUCAUUAACUACCUGUAUAUCUUAAGAUUAAGAAUUAAAUAUUUUUUUAGUCUUUUUUUUUUUCGCGAGGAGCUGGAUGAGAAGAAACUCUCAUGUCCAGUUCUGUAGUAGAGAUGGAAUUCAUAAACAACAACCAUCAACUAUAACCCCAAAAGAACCCGAUUUCGUAAACAACAUAGAGGAAGAAUGAAGGGGAUAUCGUAUCGAGGUAAUCGGAUUUGUUUUGGUAGAUAUGCUCUUCAAGCACUUGAACCCGCUUGGAUUACAUCUAGACAAAUAGAAGCGGGGCGCCGCGCAAUGACACGAAAUGUACGCCGUGGUGGAAAAAUAUGGGUACGUAUAUUUCCAGACAAACCCGUUACGGUAAGACCUACAGAAACACGUAUGGGUUCGGGAAAAGGAUCUCCCGAGUAUUGGGUAGCUGUCGUUAAACCGGGCAGAAUACUUUAUGAAAUGAGCGGAGUAGCCGAAAAUAUAGCCAGAAAGGCUAUUUCAAUAGCGGCGUAAAAAAUGCCUAUAAAAACUCAAUUUAUUAUUUCAGGGUAGGAAUAUAGAACCAAAGGAAAGAAGUCUUCUCUUGGGAAUAAAAAAACAAUUGCGAGUUUCCUUUUUUUUGACAAACAAUAUUUCUUUUUUUCUUCGUCUUUUGUUACAUUGAAAAAAGAGAUUAAAAAAAUGAUUCAACCUCAGACCCAUUUGAAUGUAGCAGAUAACAGCGGGGCCCGAGAAUUGAU
RNAcentral lists this long non-coding RNA (67570 nucleotides) under Gossypium raimondii (Peruvian cotton). The record is from RNAcentral. Lineage: Eukaryota; Viridiplantae; Streptophyta; Magnoliopsida; Malvales; Malvaceae.